This 84639-nucleotide long non-coding RNA is filed under the name Lactuca sativa (garden lettuce). RNAcentral's name for it is "long non-coding RNA (LSAT_LNC003082)". Lineage: Eukaryota; Viridiplantae; Streptophyta; Magnoliopsida; Asterales; Asteraceae. The record is from RNAcentral.
UGGGUUGGGGAGAAGAAUUGGAGGAGGUGAAAGAAGUAUGAUUUCCAUGGGAAUUCAUCGAUCAUUUUCAUUUAGAAAAGCUUGUUUCAAGAGAUUUGGGAAGAUCAUAAAUGUCUAAACCAGACAUGUUUUAUGGAGAUAUUCAAGAUAGUUGAUCUUAAGUCCUUAAUAUGACACCCAAUAUGAAAUAUUAAGGCUAGGACCCAACAAACUAUUUUAUAACUUAGAAGAGGGAUGCCGUAAUCCAAGCUAUAAAAUAUUUGAAGGUAGGUGAAUGACGAUUCACCAAUUUCCACCAAGAUAAACGAAAUGUAUUAUUAGGUUUUAAUUGGUUUUGAAACUCCUAGAUCUUUGAGAUUCAUUGAACUGUUCAAAGGCAUGUUUCAAUCUCGAGUGUGCCCUUCAGGUUUUGUGACUGGGAUGCCGAGGAUCACAAAACAAGGUGUGAAGUAACCAUGCAAAUCACUUGGUACCCUUAAUAAAUUACCCCUCAAUCGAUGUGCCGGUUAACCACACACGCUCCAUCGAUACUAUGAUAAAUAUUAAGUCACCCUUUACCUACCUUGUUAAGUCCAAGUUAGUGUGCCGGUUAACCACACACGCUCCACUAACGACUUAGACAAAGUGUAAAGUGUAAUUUCAUGGAUUAGCACCUUAUUCACAUUUUUCCUAAGUAACUAAGAUUGGGUAUUAUUAAGAGUUUAGUUACUUAGUAUUAUUCUUAAUACUUUUAAUGAAGGGAGAAUUCUAGUCCUGUCAAACCCGUUCGGCUAACGACCCUCCACCAGUCAAGCAAGCGGUGGGUGAGAGUGGACACCCAUUAAGUUGCCAUUUUAUAGGCAACAACCUUAUACCCACCUUAUAGACCGGCUUCGUGAAUGAGGCGUACUAGCGGUAAGACUGACUUUACUCUUAUACAUAUAUAUAUUAUUAACUUAUAAUAUUAUAAAGUAUAAGGGUUGAAUUUUAACUUUUAAAAUUCUAAGGGCUAACUUGGAAUUAAAGUAUUCAUAAGUGAAAACUUUACAAAUUCCAAAACUUGAGGGCAAGUUUUGAAACUAUUCAAAACUAAUUAAUUCCAUAACUUAUGUGUUUAAAGUAGUUUUAAUCCAAAAACUCUUCAAGUUCCAUAACUUGAGGACAAGUUAUGGAAGACUUUAAACUAAUAAAAGAAUUAACUUUUCUUUAUUUUAUAACUUAUGGAAUUAAUUAAGGUUACACUUUUUUUUUUUUUAUUUUAUUUUAUUAAAUGAAGAGACUCUUGGUCCUCCAUAACUUGAGGACAAGUUAUGGAGUCAUAAAACCAUUUAAUUAGAACUAGACUCUUCAUUUUUGUAACCUUUGCCAAUUUUUAUGAGUUUUAUGAUUCUUAAAUGUGACUUUUCAUAUAACUUGAGGACAAGUUACAAAAACACAUUUUAGAAUCAAUUCUUAGAUUAAUUUGGAUUAAAACCAACUAUCACAUAAUUUUAUUCAUUAAUCUAAAUUCACUCAUAAAACAAGGUAACACAAAAAACUUUUGGUGAUCCAUAACUUAUUCUUAAGUUAUGGAAUCCUUUAAAACAUUAACACCAAAUUUUGUAACUCCAAAAAAACUUUGAAUCAAUUUUUUUUUUAAAACCUUUUCAUAUCCAUAACUUAUGGAGGUUUCAAAAAAUAAAACUCUUUAGAUCAAACUUUUAAAACUAAUAAAAUAAUCAUAUUAUUUUAUCUUUUAUUAAAUUUGACCUAAUUCAACUCAUAAAGCAAAUUAUUCAAAUUUUACAAAUAAUUAGUUUUUCACAAGAACAAGUAAUUAUCUUAAAAUUUGACAAACUUCAUGUUUUUUUUUUUUUUUUUUUUCAACUUUGAAAAUAAAAUAUUUGCAUCAAUAUAACAGAAAACAACCCGUGGCUCUGAUACCACUGUUGGGUUUUGAGCAUUCUAACACUUCCUAAGUGUACAUGCAACCCUAAAUACCUUGGAUCUAUGUUUUCUCUAUUAUACAUGCAAAUAAGAAGUUCCAAGGUAUUAUCCUAAUCUAGCAUACAAAAUAAUGGAUAUAACAAGAUAGAAUACAUACCUCUUUGAUGUAGAAAGUCUUCAUGAAGCUUGAGUGCCUAGUGCCCCAAGUGUGACACCUCAAAUAGUUCACACAACACCAAAUACACUUGGAAUAACUUGAGAGAAGUCUACACUUCAUGAAAAUCGGCUNUUUUAUCUCUAGUGGCCGAUUUUGAUCAUGAAUAAGAUGCAUAUAUAGUUAGGGUUACACCAUGUAAACCCUAAUUGACAUGGCCUUUCAUUUCCAUGAUCCAUGGGUACAAAUACACCAUGGAGCAUACAUGGAGCGUCAUAUGGGUUUUCGCCCAACUAGAUAAUCCAUGGAGCAUUAGCCCACUAUAUAAGUAUGGAUGAUUUACACAAUCAAUCCAUAUAUUUAUUUAGUCUUGUUUUGAUCACUUAAUUAAUCCUGGAUUAAUUCUUGAUCAAUACUAAUUAAAUAAUCUUAUUAUUCUUAUUAUUAAUAUACUAGAACUUAGAAUAUAUUAAUAACAAUAAGUGUCUUAUUCCUCUCAUUAUAGUCUAUCCAAAUGCAUGAUGCCAUGCAACCAAAAUGGACCAUGCCGGGUCGGGUCAAGUCUUACCAAUUAUAGUUAUGGACAUAGACAUUAAUCCAACAAACAUAUGUAACAAAAAACCAUUCAAGUAAACACAAACAAAAUCAAUUAUCUACAUUGGUCUACCUGUCUAAUAACUCAUUACCGCAUACAAGGCCUCACACAGUACACUACGCAAAUCCCAACAAAUCUCUAAGGAAAGCAUGCAUAUAUUUGUAACCGUAUGUGAGUUAGAUAUUUAAACAAGUGACAACAUUCUAGAGAAAUAACCAAACAAGGAACAUGUAAGAAAGCCUAGAUCAAGAAUUCUCAGGCUAUCCUACAUGACUAAAUACAACACCUAGGGCACUCGACUAACUAGACAAUGACCAUCUUUUAGGUACUCUUGUUGGAUAAGGUGUCUAAGUCCAUAAUUUAUUUGGUAUAUACUUAACCCGACCGGCAUGGUCCAUUUGGGUUGCAUCUCAUCCAAACUAUUUAUGGAUAAUUUUAUGAGAGUUAUACACAUAUGUUUAUUAAUAUAUUAUAAGUUAUAAUAUAUUAAUAUGAGGUUAUGUUAUUUAAUUAGUCUUAGUCUUAAAUUAAUUAUGAAUUAAUUUAGAGAUUAAAAGGAAGACUAAUUAGAUUAUGGGCUAUUGGUUUUAUAUGGUGUGGGCUAACACUCAUUUGUUAAUGGGCUAGGCUUGGAUGGAAGUCCAUGGAUGAUCCAUGGAGCUUUUAACCCAUGGAUCCUUGGAAAAGAAAAGGUCAUGGGUUAUUAGGGUUUCACCCUAACCAUGUACACCGUAUAAGCAUGCUUAUGGUGCAUGAAAUGGCAACUAGUGAACUAGUGUGUGUGUGUGCUUAUGUAUGGCCGAAAAUAAAAAGUGUGUAUACUCUCUCAAAGUUUUCCAAGAGUUUGUGGUGUUUUGUAAUUCCAUUUGAGGCAUUUACACUAUUGGUGCUUGGCCCUCAAACUCCUCAAGAACCAAACUCAUCAAAAAGGUAUGUAAUCUCUUCUAACUUUUUAUGUUGAAAUGUUCCCCAUGCCAUGUUAGAUAGGUUAUAAACCUUGGAAAAUUAUUAUUUUGCAUGUAUUUAGACAAACAUAGAUCCAAGGUUUAUUAGGGUUGCAUGCACACUUAGGAAGUGUUAGAUUGCUCAAAACCCAACAGUGGUAUCAGAGCCUAGGCUUGCUUGUUUGAUACUUGAUGCAAAAUAGUGAAAAAAGUCGAAAUCGUUGCUGUCUGCNUUGCCUGAUGAACUCGCCGAGUCCAUGGGGGGACUCGCCGAGUCCUUUUGUAUCUUCAACCUACUCGCCGAGUAGGUUCAUGCACUCGACGAGUAGGAGCGACAGAGUGCAGAUUUUCGACUUUUGCUGCUGGAAAUGGACUAGAAACAUUACCCUAAACUGUUUUGGUGUUUUAAAACUUGUUUUAGUUGGUGUAAUGGUUGUUCUAAUCCAUUUACAAUAGCAUAUAUCAAAAUUCCAUGAUUUUUAUGUGUUCAUAUAAUUCUUGAAAUUUUGAUGAUCAUGUUCAUGUUCUUAUGAAUUUAGAAGAUGAUAGGAAUUAUUUGCUGAAUUGUUUAGAAUUAAUUCUUGAUCAUUUAUGUGUUUUAAUGGAGUCCAUAAUUUGUCCUCAAGUUAUGGAUAUCCAAAGGUCACUUUCUUUAACACACACAUUUAAACACAUAAGUUACAUGAAAAUGAAGAGUCUUCAUUUUUAUGAACCUUUAAUUCAUAAGUUAUGAAAUGAAAAGUUUUGGAUAGUUACAAAACUUGUCCUCAAGUUUUGGAAUUUGUAAAGUUUCACACACUUUAAUAAACUUUAAUUCCAACCCUUAGAGUUUUAAUAGUUAAAAUUCAACCCUUAUACUAUUUAUAACAUUAAUGGUUAAUUAUUAUAUAUAUGUAUAAGAAUAAGUCGUUUUACCGUUAGUAGGCCUCAUUCACGAAGCCGGUCUAUAAGGUGGGUAUAAGGUUGUUGCCUAUAAAAUGGCGACUUAAUGGGUGUCCACUCUCACCCACCGCUUGCUUGACUGGUGGAGGGUCGUUAGCCGAACGGGUAGGACAAUGACUUUAAAUCCUCAUUAAAAGUAUAAUGAUUAUUAUAAAGUAACUAAANNNNNNNNNNNNNNNNNNNNNNNNNNNNNNNNNNNNNNNNNNNNNNNNNNNNNNNNNNNNNNNNNNNNNNNNNNNNNNNNNNNNNNNNNNNNNNNNNNNNNNNNNNNNNNNNNNNNNNNNNNNNNNNNNNNNNNNNNNNNNNNNNNNNNNNNNNNNNNNNNNNNNNNNNNNNNNNNNNNNNNNNNNNNNNNNNNNNNNNNNNNNNNNNNNNNNNNNNNNNNNNNNNNNNNNNNNNNNNNNNNNNNNNNNNNNNNNNNNNNNNNNNNNNNNNNNNNNNNNNNNNNNNNNNNNNNNNNNNNNNNNNNNNNNNNNNNNNNNNNNNNNNNNNNNNNNNNNNNNNNNNNNNNNNNNNNNNNNNNNNNNNNNNNNNNNNNNNNNNNNNNNNNNNNNNNNNNNNNNNNNNNNNNNNNNNNNNNNNNNNNNNNNNNNNNNNNNNNNNNNNNNNNNNNNNNNNNNNNNNNNNNNNNNNNNNNNNNNNNNNNNNNNNNNNNNNNNNNNNNNNNNNNNNNNNNNNNNNNNNNNNNNNNNNNNNNNNNNNNNNNNNNNNNNNNNNNNNNNNNNNNNNNNNNNNNNNNNNNNNNNNNNNNNNNNNNNNNNNNNNNNNNNNNNNNNNNNNNNNNNNNNNNNNNNNNNNNNNNNNNNNNNNNNNNNNNNNNNNNNNNNNNNNNNNNNNNNNNNNNNNNNNNNNNNNNNNNNNNNNNNNNNNNNNNNNNNNNNNNNNNNNNNNNNNNNNNNNNNNNNNNNNNNNNNNNNNNNNNNNNNNNNNNNNNNNNNNNNNNNNNNNNNNNNNNNNNNNNNNNNNNNNNNNNNNNNNNNNNNNNNNNNNNNNNNNNNNNNNNNNNNNNNNNNNNNNNNNNNNNNNNNNNNNNNNNNNNNNNNNNNNNNNNNNNNNNNNNNNNNNNNNNNNNNNNNNNNNNNNNNNNNNNNNNNNNNNNNNNNNNNNNNNNNNNNNNNNNNNNNNNNNNNNNNNNNNNNNNNNNNNNNNNNNNNNNNNNNNNNNNNNNNNNNNNNNNNNNNNNNNNNNNNNNNNNNNNNNNNNNNNNNNNNNNNNNNNNNNNNNNNNNNNNNNNNNNNNNNNNNNNNNNNNNNNNNNNNNNNNNNNNNNNNNNNNNNNNNNNNNNNNNNNNNNNNNNNNNNNNNNNNNNNNNNNNNNNNNNNNNNNNNNNNNNNNNNNNNNNNNNNNNNNNNNNNNNNNNNNNNNNNNNNNNNNNNNNNNNNNNNNNNNNNNNNNNNNNNNNNNNNNNNNNNNNNNNNNNNNNNNNNNNNNNNNNNNNNNNNNNNNNNNNNNNNNNNNNNNNNNNNNNNNNNNNNNNNNNNNNNNNNNNNNNNNNNNNNNNNNNNNNNNNNNNNNNNNNNNNNNNNNNNNNNNNNNNNNNNNNNNNNNNNNNNNNNNNNNNNNNNNNNNNNNNNNNNNNNNNNNNNNNNNNNNNNNNNNNNNNNNNNNNNNNNNNNNNNNNNNNNNNNNNNNNNNNNNNNNNNNNNNNNNNNNNNNNNNNNNNNNNNNNNNNNNNNNNNNNNNNNNNNNNNNNNNNNNNNNNNNNNNNNNNNNNNNNNNNNNNNNNNNNNNNNNNNNNNNNNNNNNNNNNNNNNNNNNNNNNNNNNNNNNNNNNNNNNNNNNNNNNNNNNNNNNNNNNNNNNNNNNNNNNNNNNNNNNNNNNNNNNNNNNNNNNNNNNNNNNNNNNNNNNNNNNNNNNNNNNNNNNNNNNNNNNNNNNNNNNNNNNNNNNNNNNNNNNNNNNNNNNNNNNNNNNNNNNNNNNNNNNNNNNNNNNNNNNNNNNNNNNNNNNNNNNNNNNNNNNNNNNNNNNNNNNNNNNNNNNNNNNNNNNNNNNNNNNNNNNNNNNNNNNNNNNNNNNNNNNNNNNNNNNNNNNNNNNNNNNNNNNNNNNNNNNNNNNNNNNNNNNNNNNNNNNNNNNNNNNNNNNNNNNNNNNNNNNNNNNNNNNNNNNNNNNNNNNNNNNNNNNNNNNNNNNNNNNNNNNNNNNNNNNNNNNNNNNNNNNNNNNNNNNNNNNNNNNNNNNNNNNNNNNNNNNNNNNNNNNNNNNNNNNNNNNNNAUGUGGACUGGGAAGGUUCCCAAUUUGGACCACAUCAAAAUUUGGGGUUGCGAAGCCUUCGUGAGGCGUGAAACUCAUGAUAAGCUUGAACCCCGAAGUGAAAGGUGUAUUUUCAUCGGCUACCCACAGAAAUCCUUCGGUUACCUUUUCUACAGACCCAGUGAGAAUGUGGUCUUUGUAGCACGAAGAGGGAUCUUUCGCGAGAAAGAAUUUAUAAGCCAAGGAGACAGUGGGAGGCAGAUUGAUCUUGAAGAAAUUCAAGAAUCAAUUGGUGAAGGAACCUCAGACACUAGCAAUCAACCUGAGGUAGAAACUCCUGUUGAUCCAGCUGACGAGUCUGUACCUCCGAGACGUUCCACACGGGUUAGGAACACACCUUCGUUUUAUUAUGGUUUUCAUAUUACUACGGAAGGUGAUACGUUUAUUAGUGAUAGUACACUAGUAAAUUUGGAUGAACCUAGCAGUGUUAAGGAAGCCAUGGCAGGCCCGGAGUCUGCUAAAUGGAAGGAGGCUAUGGACAGCGAGAUACAGUCCAUGUAUGACAAUCAAGUUUGGAACUUGGUUGACAAUGUACCAGGCCGUAAAACAGUCGGGUGCAAAUGGAUCUUCAAGAAGAAGACCGACAUGGAAGGAAAAGUGCAUACUUAUAAGGCUCGACUGGUUGCGAAGGGUUUUACUCAGACUCAGGGUAUUGAUUAUGAUGAAACCUUCUCGCCGGUAGCCAAGAUUAAGUCUAUUAGGGUUAUGCUAGCCAUUGCAGCAUUUCAUGAUUAUGAAAUAUGGCAAAUGGAUGUCAAAACCGCUUUCCUUAAUGGAAAGUUGGCUGAGGAUGUGUACAUGAAUCAGCCAGAGGGUUUUGUCAGUGCAGAGUACCCUAAUGGAGUAUGCAAGCUUGAGAAAUCCAUUUAUGGAUUAAAACAAGAAUCUCGUAGCUGGAAUCUUUGUUUUGAUGAGAAGGUCAAAGAGUUUGGCUUCUCGAGAAGUGAAGAUGAGUCUCCACAUCGUGACAAUCCCUUGGCCACGACGUGGAUCCCGGAAGAACAUCGCAAUCUUCAUUAAGUUCUUAAUGCUUACAGAUCUAAACAUAUAACUUUAGAUGUACUUCUUUCCAAUGACUUAAGGGAUGAAGUUUAAAAAUCUAUCCAUUAUAACUCCAUUAUAAGGCUAGAUGUACAACCAAAAGCCGCUUAUUUCCUUAGUGGGGCCAAAAUUGGAGCAUGAUCACAAGGGACUCCAACAUGAAUCCUUUUUCUCAACUUACAGAACAUAUUGACAAAAAAUGGAGCUAUAGCAAUCUCUAGAGUUCCUCAAACUCCAAGAGCAUCCUUGGAGGGGAUCAAAACCACCCAAAAGUAACCUCAAAAAUCUUCCACAAGCUUAGAAUAACAAUUACAUUAUCUGUUUUUGCUUAUGGUUACUACUUAGUAGUCAUUAAAUGCUUAACUUGAAUUCCAUACCGCACAAUGGUGUUGUUACUGAAAUAAAUGUCUCUUGACAUUAAGGGUUCAAAAGACUUUUUUAAUCACAAUUCAUUAACGUGGUUUCAAAAAGGCAUUAUGCUAGAAAACUUCUAACUUAAAAGAUUCGAUUCUCUGUUCUUUGAAGCCAAGAUUCUGUUGGGAUAAUUCAAAAUCUUAGUGUAACGUCCAAAUUUUCAUAGUAAAAUUUUGAUUUAAUAAUAAAAGCAUUUGUUCCUAAACCAACAUCAAAUAACUAAAUAAAACCAUUUGGUUCAAACAUUGAUCAUAGUAUAAACAUAAAUGUCAUUGAGUGCGAAAAUUUCCAAUCGAUGUGCUACAAUUAUAUCAUGCCCUUCCCCUUUGAACCUGAAAAACAUGAAACAAUUGAAUCUUAUAACGAUAAGCACAAAGCAUAUUGAAUUUUUUAAAGUACAACAUACAUCAAAGAAUAAAGGGCCCCACUCUGAAUAAUGGACCCCGUCCAUAUAAAGGGCCAUGCGCAAAGUAAUUGGACCCCGUCUAGAUAAUGCGGCCUAUGCAGCAUAUAAACAAAGAAACGAAUAAUUCGGAGUUAGAAAGAUAAAAAUCAUAUAUAUUGACACCUCUUGUCCUAUAUAGUAUAUUGAGAAAGCUGACAUGACUGAUAAAAUAGACAGUCACCAUAACUCGGAGGUAAUGAGAAGGCUGGUAGUACAUACCACCUAAACAUUAAUCAAAUAGACAAACCUCAUUCGGCGACCUAAAACCCUAAACUAUGAUCUAAAGUGAAAUUUAGUCAGAAAGUCAAAUAUCUAGUCAAAUAGGCACCUUGUGCCUCACAUGGAUUCCCCGUUCCAACUAGAUGACAAAAUAGUUGGGAUUUUAGAAUUAAAUAUAUGUAUAUCUAAAAAACUAUAACACCCGUUUACUAGAAAGGAUAGAUUUAUGGUCUGAACGAGUUAAAAGGUUGCUUUUUGGAGAAAAUCGAGUGUCACAAACUGACCAUUAGGUGGUUACGACAUGACAAGAGAAAAAUACGAGAAAUACAUUUUGGACCAUCCUCACUACGUAAGUGUCUCACCCCCGAACCAGACAGCGGAAAUGUCCGAGGGCUCACGUGACUAAAUUUGAAAAUUAUCACAAUGAAUAUACAUGAAUCAUCACAUAAAUAUCACCAUGCAUCAAUAUAUUACAACUGACAUUGUUCACAUCAAGUACAUUGUUUUAACCACUACUAGAAAAAUAGCCUUUUACGACGCGCAAUGCGUGUCGUAAAACCCUCAGACGACGCACAAAUGCGUGUCAAGGAAGGCCCUGUCAUAACGAGAGACGACACGCUUUUGCGCGUCGUCUAUAGACGACGUGCAUUUACGACGCGCAAUUACGACACGCAUUUACGACGCUCAUUUACGACACGCAAUGCGUAUCAAGGAAGGCCCUAUCAUAAAGGAAGACCACACGCAUUUGCGUGUCGUAACCUUACCACGCGCGUUUAGGAAACGCAUUGCGUAUCAUUAUAUCCCCUGUCAUAAAUGAAGAUGACACGCAUUUGCGUGUCAUAAACUUCAACAACCAUUUACAAUAUGAAUAUACGUCGUGCUUUUAUGAUACUCUUUUAUGCAUAAUACAAAAAUAUAGAAAAAUAUACCAAAACAAUCAAUUUCAUCUAAUAACAUCAUGUCAAAAAAUUGUAAUACAUUGAUAUUAUAGGGAUAUUAUAUUACAUUGUUAUUAAGAGGUUUUCCUUAACUAUAUAACCUAAUACUACAUUGCUAUAAAGGGGCACCUUCUUAUUUCAGUAAUUCAUCAUUAAGCUGUCUAAAGAAGCUCUGAAACCCUUCAUGUCUCUUGGCUUCAAUAUCAAUCCCAACUCUUGAUAAAAACACGGAAAUCCUACCAAUCAUCAUGUCUCUUAGCUUUAAUAUCAAUCCCAACUCUUGAUCAAAAACAACUCUUGCUGUGUUUUGCAUUUAUCCCUACAAUUUAACUCUAAUGGCAUUAAAAAUAUGCAUGAAAUAAGUUAUUAUUUCACCUGAUCAACCAAUAUACAAGAAUUUAGUGACAAAAUAAAUUUCACGGUUGAGAAUCACGUGACUGAGGCAAGCGGUGGACGCGUGUUCCAAGCUAAUCCAAAAGGGCAGAUGGGUAAUUUUACCAAAAAAAAAGGGCAUAACAGAUGAAAAGUGUGCUAACCUUAUUUUAGAAGACAGAUCCUCAGAUGAAUCUGCUUGAUGCUUUUGGCCACAACCACUAAAGACAUCAGCCCAUAACGAAAGAAUAUCACACACCUGGUCUUCCAUCUCCUGUACACCUCAUGCAGUAGUUUUCAGUUUUCAGAAUCAAGAAUUACUAUAAUUCCAUUGAAGAAGAAUAACAGUUAUACCUCCUUUGGCAUGGAAGACAAAAAGGAUGAGAGAAGUAACCAUCCAACUUCUUUUUCAACUAUAGCAACCACAAUGUUUCAACUAGCUUGUGUUAGCAUUUUUCUAGCUACAUCAAGCAUUGUUAUGGGCAGUUUUUAGACAAAAAUAAAUAAAAAGUUAAAAACCACUGUCUAUUUACCACUUCACCAUCAUAAUUAUGAAGAAAGUUCAAACUGUUACCUGGCUGGAUAAACAAGAGGCAGCUUUGGGGAGAUAGAUGCAAGCGUAGUAACUGAAUUCCAAAUUUCCUUUAAAAGCUCAACCUUCAUAUUGGUUCCCUUUAUACCAUUUUCAGAAAACAAUAUAUAUAAACAAGUGAAGUAACUGAAUUCCAAAUUUCCUUUAAAAGAAAACUAGGUCUUUGAUGUAAUACCUUCCCAAAUGACAUAUUUUCUCUUAGUGCCUUCAGUGCAGUGAUCCCAUAAUUGACCAAACCACCAACACAUGUCGGAUCAAGAUAUUGAUUAUUGUGCCAAAGAACUUAAAAAGAUAAGAAUAUUCCAUGAGAGAUAUGGAUAAGUAAUUAUAGUUCACAAUUGAAUUCAAAUCCUUACUUAUUUACAGCCAAACACAUAAUUUAUUCGGAAUUGAAUUCCAAUUCUUGAUAUAUCCAACAAAGUCCCACAAACCAAAGCAUCUCUGCUGUCCAAAAGUAUCCUUAAGUAGGAGCUUUCUUCAUAUUUGGAAGCCUCUCUGUUCCCCAAAUCCAACAUAUAAGGCCAAACACACAUAUAUAUUCUUCAUAAAUAUUGACAUAAAUGAACAUUUUAACUUGAAGGGACUUGUGCGUAUUUGAAUAAGUUGUGAGUGAUCACUCUUGUAUGCCUUUGGAUCGGAAAGUGAACGAUAAGCUAUCUAUAUUCUGCUGAUGAAUAUGUCCAUAGAAGCUUUCACAUCAGGCGACUUGGUUGUUAAGGAGGAAAUAAAUUUUAAUGUGCUGUUUUUCAUCAUACAUUGUGUUUAAAAAUCAGCAAAUAAAUAUAUACUUAUGAGUUGAAAAUAAAAAUAAAAAGCUUCAACACCUUUAGAUUCCAGUCGUACCGAGAAAGGCAUAAUAGAACUGGUUUAGAAUUAGUUUUCAUUCCCGACCAGCUCUGUUAUCAUCUUACAAACUUACUCUGAUCGCAAAGCUAAAUAAGAUUAGGAUUCCUAAUCGGCCUGUUGAUGCAAAAAUGAGUGCUCUUUUAGCAGAUAGAGAUAGAUUACCCAAUUGGAAACAGAUACUUGCGUUGACUUUGACUUAUAAGUUCAAGUUGGGAGAAGGAGCUGUUGUGAAACCACAGAUACCUUUUCUUAACAACUGGAUCUAAGACAACAAGUUUGAAUCACAGUUUUAUAUGAUUUCAGAUUCGAACAAGGUAUUUUUAUUUUUUAAUCAAGUCAUGUCCUUGCUAUAGAUGUCCUAUUUUGUAAUUAUUUAUUUAUUUAUUAUUACAGCAUGUGUACGCCAUAGGUGAUGUGUACCCAGAGUCGGCAAAACUGCCCAAGGGUGACUACAGUUUGCAAUUGCACUUGAGGCAUGAGAAUGUGCAGUACUUGGAGAAAUUGAAGCAAUUAGUGUUUCUUCUUACAAAACUUAACAUAUUUUUAUUAUAUUUUAUUAUUGUGGCAGGAGGCUGUGAAAUUGAGCUUUUAUACACAACCAGAUGGUCCAGCGAUAGGACAAGAGUUACGAUAUGUCGUUACUUUGGGUAGGGACCAGCUCGUUUCUGUUUCACCUGCAGUCACUCAAAGUAACUCGCUUGGGUAUUAUAUACAGAUUAAUACAACAACAUCAGUAACUUAAAUAUGACAACUACUUACAUAGAACCAACCAUCAACUCUGUACUCGAUUUUAACCUCUUCUCCAACAGUUAAACUCAACUGGAAGAGAAGAUGUUUCUUUGGUUGCCAUUUAUACCCCUGCAAGAGAAGAUGGAACUGAGGGAUGUACAGUUUCUGCUUCAACGAAACCAAGAACUAUAAUUUGAUCAAAUAUUUCAGAAAUUCAACAAGUGGGAGUUUAUUUAAGCUGAAGAAAUUAUAAUUUUAGAAAGGAAGAGAAACUUUGGAAGUAUUGGAAAUAUAAUACAUAAAAAGAAGGUCUAAUUUGCAAACAACGGAAGUUGGGGGAAAAUCAUGCUAUGUAUAUUAUAAAUAGAGGUUUAUUUCAGAAAAUUACAAAUAAAAAAUUAUUUACUUGUUUAUAUUACACUGUUACCUAAAACCCAUAAAUAGCGAGUAAGAGAACAAGAGAAGAGAGUUGGAUUUUUGUUGGAAUAUGGAUAGCUCAGAUUUUAAGUCAUUUGUAUAGAUUUAGAGCAAAAUAUGAAAGAACUUGAUUUUCAGUAAAACCCUAAGGGCAAAAUCAAGCUUCUUGUUAUAAGGGGUUAAUAAGGUAAACUUUUAUCUUAUAUGUGGUUUAGAAGAGUAAAAGAAGAAUGAUUGUACAAUUUGAUUGCUAGAUGUUUUAUUAUACUUAAUGCACACUUCAUAGUAGUUGGAAAGAUUGUGAGAGAAGCAAGCUUGCAAAAUUACUAUUAAGGCAAUAAAACAAAGAUCACAUAAAGUUGAUUACUAUCUUAUUUCAAAAUAAUGGAGUGAAUAGGUGGACAUGGAAACCAACAAUCUAUGCCUUAAGAUAACAAAAUAUGAUAAAAUAUGCAACGCGGUAUCUGGUAGGGAAUUUCACGUGAUGUUAUUCUCUGCUAUCAAAAGGAUUUAGGAAGUUACCUUUACAACUGAGAGAACAAGUUUAGCAUGUAUUUCUUGCCACUUUGUCAGAUCCUACUGAACAUUUGAGAUCGUAGGAAUAUCAGAUAUUUGUUAGGCAUCUGCAAAUCAUAAACAUAAACUACUCCAAUUAUAACCAUCAAACAAAUUAGAACUUUGAACAGGUUUUGAAAUAUAGAUAAGCAUGAAAAAUAUCAUAAAUCUGUAACAUGUCUAUAUAAGCACACUUCUGCCAAUUCGUAUAAUUCAGUUCCUAAUGUCUAGAACAUUUUCUACCUACCAUUUGACAAGAUCACAUAUUCCACUACUAUUUUUAGGUGCACCUUGUUCUUGUCAGUUCUGACAUAUUAUCUAAGGCAUACAAGUUUGGUCCCUGUAAAUUCAAUAAAACCAAAUGUUGGAACACCCAACCUAUUCUAGACUGAACAACUGAAUCACAUACACACUUCUCUUCAUCUAAGGAAUUCUAUAACUCCCAACAACAUAGGAAUAUGUACAGACAUGGAAAACAUUAUUAAUGGCUUUAUUAACUACAAUUGAUUUGCUGUGAUUCCUAUAGUUGCAUAAUAUCUAUACUGCGACUAUUUUGUGGAUUACCCACCUCUUUAGGAAGGUAUACAUGCUCACUACUUAUUUUUGUAUUUUCAAAUGGGAUCCUUCUCCCUCUCCCUAUGGUUAUUUCCUCUUCAAACCCGAUCCUCCUGAUUUAAUAAAACAUAAGACUAUCAGUCUAUAACCUCAACAAUAAAAACAAAACAAAUUAUUAUUAAAAUCAAAUAAUGAUAAUACAAAUUGUUACAAAUUAUGGACAAUAGGGUCUUCUUUUAUGAUGGCAUUAGGAGUGGCUGGUAACCCAAGGGAUCUUCUUGAUCUCUCUAGUGGCAACCCAAGGGUUCUGUCCCAUAUUAGCUGUCAAAGUCAAAAAGAAUACCAUUAAAUCUAAACAAACGUGAGUUAUACCAAAUUCACUGAUGAAGGGAUGAAGUUAUACCAAAUUUGUUUCUUCAAAUGUACAGUGUGUGGGUUAUAAGACGACCUCACGACUACACUUUUGAUAACAAAAAAAGAUUGGCAGAGUAACCUAUAUGAGCAUGUAUUUUGCGAUUUUAUCCCAUUCACAUCAUCCCCUCACUUUGGUAUAAAUUCAUCCCCUCAAAUGGUUAAACUUCACAUCAUCCCCUCACCAGUAAUAUGGUAUAACUUCCACGAUCAAAUAAAUUAUUAGAUUGUGCAUGCCUCCUUCUCAGCAGUUCCAGCUUUGCAAGAAACCAUUGACACAAUUAAUAUUGCAUUUACUCCAAGUUCACACUAGACAAUGAGACAUGAAAACAAUGCUAAAAAGCUGUUACAAUUUCAAAAAAAUAUGAACAUUUUUUAUAUCUAAAUCCAAUACAACAUGUCAUAAGUGAACACCAUCAAUUCACAAAAUACAACAUAUGACAGUUACUACAUAGGUAAGAGACUGAAUUGAACAUAAAUGGAUUGGACAAGCUUUCUAGGGUUAUUUCUUUAGAUGAUGAUGAGAAGGGCAUUCAUGUCUUUUGCAUAGAUGAGAGAUUGAGACAAAAAGAAAAUGAAUGUUUCAAGGGGUUUGUGGUAUACAAUUGAUUUGAAUCAUCACUGAGCACUAUUAAUUGGCUUCUCAGCUAACACAACAUAUUUAGCAGCCUAACAUACAUUAAAAUAAAAAAUAUUACAACCUUACUACCUGAAUUAUCUGUUGUGGUCCUUCAGUUGGCUUUUGAGAAAAAGCUUAACUGUGCAGGUUCUUCAGGGAAAGUCUCAAGGAAGCUUUCAAGAAGUUUAUCAACAUUAUCAAUUCUUUCAUCACCUUCACCAAUUAUCCAAAUCAUCGAUGCCUGUUAAAAAAACAAUUAUUAGUAAAUUUCUAUAGAAAGCAAAAGAGAGAGAGAGAGAGAGAGAGAUUGUAGAAUUUAAAACAAUUAUUUUACUACAGACACAAUAAAUGAUCUAAUUAACUGCUCUUGAUUGUGAUGCCAAAACCAAAUUGAGAAGGCAGAAAUACAAAAACUAACUAUCAAUUAAAUCUUACUCCACCCCACAUGAAUUGAUCAUCAAAAUCUGGAAUCUGAUAUACGAGUUCUUUAAAAUAUGUUAUUAUCGUGUCUUAAUUUUCAGCCCCUAAAAACAUAAAAAAGGCAUUAUGCCACACCAGGCUAUGCAAUCAAAACUGUAUUGAAGAUGCUACCAGUAGAAGAACCUGUAAUCGUAUGCCAAUAAUAUCUACUGAAAACUUCUCCCUACCUACGGACCAAUAACCCUAUGGAUUUGGCAAAGCAGAGCCUUAAUUCAGAUUCAGAUCAAAAUCAAAUUAUCAUCCAAGGUAAGAAAUUGAACAAGGAUAACAAUAUUUGUGAUAACUUAAUCGACCUAUCAACCAAUAACCUGAUGCAUCUGCCAUAACCAUGAUCGAAGAUAAUAACAUACAGGGAGAAGCUAGAAUUAUCGUCAUGACCCGCUUGGAUAAUAAUGUAUAAUCUUUAAUUUCUUCCAGAUAUAAACCAAUAACCCUAUCGAUCUGCCACAACAAGUAGAUUCGUAGAUAAAUUCUUAAUUAUAACCCACAUCUCCUCAUAGAAGAGACCAUAAAAGAACCUGAUGACGCUUAGAACAACAUAAGAGAGGAAGAACCUGGAAACGCCUGAUCAUAAAGAUCUGAUCUUUGAUAUUGAAACUAUCGACGGAUCAAAUCUAAAUUACAGAGCGUAUAUGAACUUGCAAACCAUUGUGGAUUAAGAUUUUCCAUGACGACUUUAUAAUCAUUAACCAUCGAUCAAAGAAACAAAUCCUCCAAAUCAAAAUAUCAAAAUAUAGAAUAUAACUAAAGAUUCAUGAAGGGAUUACGACCCGUUUCAGAUAAAGAUCAACCAUAAAAUAAAAAUCAAAUAUUUAAAAUACAUAAUAAAGGCAAAGAGAUUGUAGAUCAAUGAUGAUAGGAGAUGGAGAUUCAAUUUCUAAUUUAUGAUUUACAUAGAAAACAAAACACAAACUAAAUGGGUUUUCUUUUUUGUUACCGUUCCUUUGCAAUAAAAUGGCCAAUCGAUGCCUAUGUACUUCGAUAUUUUCACGAAGAAUGUAGUUAAAAACCCAAUCAAUGAUAUGCAACAAAAUAUCCCAAGAGAUUCGUCUCGUCGUCUUCUCUAUUAGGCCCCGAUAAUGUUGCCUUCCUCUUUCUCAUUUUUGGUUUACCGCCUUCAAGACAAUCAGAUAUGACACUGUGAGGAUGAAACUUGAACCCCAAUCGCCAACAUCAUGAGUGUAAGAACUCGCAGUCGUCGGCAUAGGGAUGUGUGAGCGUUAGGAGUCGCCGACACUGUGAGGAUGAAAGUUGAUUAAUUUUGUGGAGGUCUCCCAUAAAAGCCCUAGCUGGUUGAUGGAUGCGUUCAUUGUUGAUGAUGAAGGGCCGGAAGGAUUUCAUCGAUUUCGAGUCAGGUGGGGGAGGAUAAGAUGGCUUCGAAGAAGGUCACAAAUCUGGAGCAAGGAAGAAGAAAAGGGUAAGAAGACAUCGUUGUGAAUUGACGGUGGUGGAAGCGAGGAGCAUGGACGUCCAGGUUUUAGUGGAGAAAUCAAACUAGUUUCUUCCUUAUUUUGGGAGGACGGACAUGAAGAGAUCGAGAAAAAAAUCCCUAGUUGGAUGAUUUUAUGACGAGGAGGAUGGACACGGGGAGGUGAUCCUAUGCUCACCGGAGAAGAAGUAAGCUUGAAGUGAGAUCGUCGAUUGUUGCAGAGGCCUAGGAGAACCGAUCAAGAAUCAGAGAGCGUUUUGAAUUUUUUUGAAAAAUCCCUAGGUAGAAUGGUUCUUGAAAAAGCCCUAGGAAUGAGUAAAUGAAGGGAAAUACAGAGGAGAGAUUGAAAAAGCCGGCACUUCAAAAUUUUAAAAUUUCAGAGGAUUUCAUUUUUGCCCUUUAAAAACGCGCGUUUCAUAAAAAAAUAUAUAAAGCGAAAUUUCUAGAGGACACACAUUUAAAACAAGUGCCCUCCGUGUUUGUAUUUUUUUCUUUUUUGGACAUUAAUUUUCAGGCACGCAAAAAUGCAUGUCCUCUACUCUUCAAAUUUUGGAAGGUUGACAUUAUUUUUAAGGGCACACAAAGAUGCGUAUUGUAAAUCAGCGAGUGUCAUUGUUUGCGCGUCAUUAAAGGGUAUUUUUCUUGUAGUGAACAUUACAAAUCCAUAACAUAAAAUUUUUGAUAGUUUUCAAAAGCACAACAUACUAACAUACUUUGUACUACCCUUCCGCUUACCUGUUACCUGAGAAUACAAAUGUGCAAAUGUUGGUGAGUUCAUAAGCAGGUUUGAUGUGAAAAUGUUUUGUGUUGUUUGAAAGAAAACAACCCAGAAAAUCCGAUAUUUUCUGAAACGACCAUUGUUUAUAUAAAAGUGUUAAGAUCCGUAAAUAUAUGUGAUUUCAAAACAUGUAUAAUUGAAAAACUUUGUAUUAAAAGUACUAGUGAAAAAUGUUGAACUUCCCCGAAAAACCCGAUGUUUUCCGAAAAUAAAAAUAUUAUAUAACGGUUCGAAUUGUUAUUCCAUCACAUGAAUGAUUUUGACUUACCUUGAUUACUUGAUUUAUAUUGGAUUUAUUUACGUGAGUCGUUCUAACCAUCCAUGAUAAUGACUAGUUCGUCUGUCUUGGCACUCUGGUGAAUGCCGAAAUUGAUCAUAAGAUUUUGUUACCAUAGACUAGCCGAGUCUAACUGUAGCCCACAGCUGAGGUGUGGGGGAGUCACCCCCGUAUAGAUCUAUACACAAACACUCGCUCUCCCUCCAGGAGACUUUGAUUAUAACUACAGAUUACGACCGACACACGUUGGUGCCACCCGUUAUUACUCACUAAAUCCCAAUUGACUUUCAUUACUAUUGAUUAUCGACUCGUAUUUGUUUACUUGGAUUAACGAUAGGCCUAAUAAACGAGGAGAAGAGGAUUACAAGAUCCUACUAUUCCCGCGUAUUAUUUAUGGAUAUUGAUUAUACAAAGGACACGCUGGCCCAUUUCGCAUUUUAUUUACUUGGACCUUACUAGCAAUGCUAACGGGCCACUAAGACCCAAUAGCACUUAAAACCCAUUGAGGGUUCCUUAAAUAUGAAUUUGGGUCAUAGAAGGCCUACUAACAUUUAUAAUUAUCCCUUGGGCCCAAAAAUUGUUAAUGGGUCAGAAAGGCCCAAUAAGCAUGUUUGGAACUUUCAAGCCCAAAGAAUUUAAUGUUUACUUGUUUUAAGAAUUGUAUAAUUGUUGGAAGGUUUGAUUGAACGAUAGUUAUUUUUUUGUAUCGACACAAGACCGGUCGAUUUGUUUAUAACGAUAUAUGGAUUAUAUGUAUAUUCAUCUCUCUAUUUUCAUGGGUUGUGAGUUUUAGUAUUUUUGACUCAAAGAUCUUAGAAAUAAAAUAAUUGGUUCAAAAUGUUGGUUUGACCCCUUUUAGCCCUUUUUAAUAAAAAUAACCAUUUUUGGUCCUUUAUACAAAAAAAGACGUUUUAAGCCCUUAUAGCAUUUUGUUGACACAUUUGACCUAUAGGCUUACUGAAUAGAUAUUUUUAGUUCAAAACUUAUUCUUUGGCAGUUUCAGCUCUUCCAAAAAAGUGAUUUUCGGUUAAAGCCCAAACAUUUGCAACUUUUACAAUUUUGACCUAAAAUCUAAAAAGUUUACAUUUUUUAUCCUUGUUUGGAAAAUACAUCAUUUUGAACCCUGAAAUAGUUUUGUUUACCCUUUUUACCCCCUGUUUUGAGAUGUUUAUCAUUUCACCCCACCCCCUUGAAAGUUAAAAUUUUUGUCAAACAUUUGCAAAUUUUCUCAAGUCAUGGCUUAAUGGGCAGGAAAGCCCAAAAUUUGACCAAUUAAGCUACAAUUUUACACUUCUAGCCCUUAAAAGUGUAUGAUAUCCAUAAAAACAAUUAUUUUUACUGAUUUGAAUCUUUUAGUCCUUAAGAAAAAACAUGAAUGGAAAUUUUAACCCAACUUUUGUUUCUUUAACAAUUUAAGCCCAAAAAUUGUCUGAUGUUGCAAUAUCUUGAUUUAAAUCAUAGAGGAUAUUUUUCUUGACUUUUUAUAGUGUAGUAGACAUUAGAUCAUGUUUUCUUUCCUUAUUAUGUCAUAGAUCUCGAGAUUUCUUUCCAUUUUGUUUACAUAUUCAACACACAAGCACAUAAAUUCACACAUACAUACAUGAAAUCAUACAUAGCAUACACAUACACAUAGAUCUACACAUUUUUCUUGUAUUCUCCCCCAUUAAACUUGUAAAAACUAAAAAGAGAGGGGUAUGAACUCACCUUGAGUUUGUGGGUUUGGUUUUGAAGAAUAAUGGAAGAAGUUUGAUGCUAUUCUCAUCCUAGCAAGCUUCUUGGAGGAUCUUUGGCAUAGAUGUGCUCUAAGAUGCGAGAUCACGAGUUUGAAUUGAUUAGGAGGAUAUUUUUGAUGAAAUGAAGUUGGUAGAUCAUGUAUUUAAGCAUCAACUUACCUAAGAUGAUGACUCUUUGGGAGAAUCCUACUUGAAACCUCUUGAAUCUCGAAAAUAUGAUGAAUAAGUGAAGGAGUUGUAGUGUGUUCUUGAGAGUGUUUAAGCGAAAGAAAAUUACGUGUGUGUGUGUUACUCUUGGCCGAUGAAAAAAGAGAGAGGAAAAGAGAGGGAGUGAAGUGAUAGGUACUUGGAAAUAUGAGAUGUUACAUGCAUAUCCUAUGUACUAUUGUGAGGUGGCAUGUACAAAAGUCAACUCUUUUCUCCCAUUUGUUUAAUUGGGCCGAGAGAAGGAGAAGAAAGAAAAGAAAUUGGGCCUUCUUGUGCUUAAGUCCAUAUUUUUGCCCGAUUGGAUUUUUUUUGUCCUAAUUGGUCUUUGGGUAGGGUUCACGGCCCAAAAUAAGUCAAGGAAUGAGUUUUAUGGUCUUUUUAAGUUAUUAGAUUUGUUAUGGAUCAUUAGUGUAUUUCAUUUCGUUCUAGGCCCAUUAUGGCCCAAAAUGUUAAAAUAAAUGAAGGUGGGUCCAGUUAGAGCCCAUUUAAGAGUUCUAAUCCCGAAAUAGUGAAAUUGGAAGCUUAUUGGUCCAUUAGGGCCAAUAAGAAAAUCCUAGUGCAAAAUGGACUUAAACCGGGAUUUCUUGGGUUUCCAAUUCUUUGUUGACUAUUUGAAGUGCUUAUAUAGAGUGUUUGAUGUGGAUUUUGUUGUCAUUGAAUAAGUAUCCUACAUGCUUUCACAUUUUUGGUUACCAAAUGUUAUCAUUGUUGUUGUUACAAAGCCUCAAAAUACCUAGUUGUGACAUCAUCCCCCCGUUAGAGGGAAUUUCGUCCCGAAAUUCUUUUGAAUGAUUUAAGAACACGAGAAUAGGUGAGGGUACUUCUGCUUCAUCUAGUCUUCGUGUUCCCAUAUGAAUUUUGGCCCACGCUUCGCGUUCCACCGUACCUUUCACAAUCGGAAUGCGACUAUGCGUAGUACGCUUCACCUCCCUGUCCAUGAUUUCGACUGGUUCUUCGACGAACAGGAGAUUCUCGUUGAUUUCCAUUUGUUCAAGGGGGCUGACAAGCGUUUCGUUGGAUAAACACUUUUUCAAAUUGAAAACAUGGAACACAAGGUGUAUACUGCUGAGCUCAGCGGGUAGCUGCAGUUUAUACGCAACUAGACUGAUUCUGGCAAGAAUCUCGAAGGGUCCGAUAUAUCGUGGAUUCAACAUUCUCCAUUUUCCAAAACGAAUAACCCCUUUCUAGAGAGAUACUUUUAACAACAAUCGAUCCCCGACUUGAAACUCCAAGGGUUUCCAUCGUUUAUCAGCGUAGCUCUUCUGUCGGUCUCGCGAUGCUUGUAGUCGACCUCUGAUUUGAACGAUCUUGUCCGUUGUUUCGCGUAUGAUUUCCGGUCCCGUUAACACAUUGUUUGAUGUCAGUCCUCCUACUAGUUGGGUGUCACCUACCUCAGCCCAACACAAUGGUGAUCUGCAUUUAUGUGCAUACAACGCCUCGAAGGGAGCAACUUUGAUUCUCAAGUGAUAACUGUUGUUGUAUGAGAAUUCGAUUAAGGGCAAGUGGGUAUCCCACGACAUUCCAAACUCUAUCACACACGCGUGUAGCAUGUCUUUAUGUGUCUGAAUGGUUCGUUCGCUUUGACCAUCCGUUUGUGGGUGAUAAGCGGUGCUCAUGUCGAGAUGUGUUCCCAGUGCUUUCUGAAGUGAUUGCCAAAAACGUGAAGUGAAUCUACUAUCUCUAUCUGAGAUGAUAUAUACUGGGACUCCAUGGAGUCUCACAAUUUCCUUGACGUAUAUCCUCAUCAACCUGUCCAUCUUGUAGGAUUCUUUUAUUGGCAGGAAAUGAGCGGAUUUCAUCCAUCUGUCGACUAUUACCCAUAUCGUACCCAAUCCAUCCGUUGACUUGGGUAACUUGGUCACAAAGUCCAUAGUAAUCCUUUCCCAUUUCCACUUGGGAAUUACUGGUGUUGUAAUAAUCUCGCGGGCUUAUGAUAUUCCACCUUCACUUUAGCGCAAGUAACGCUUUUGCUAACAUAGGCGGCAAUAUCUGCCUUCAUGUUGGACCACCAAUAAUGUUGCUUGAUAUCCAAGAACAUUUUAUCUGAACCCGGAUGGAUGGAGUAUCGAGUCUUGUGGGCUUCAUUCAUGAGUACCACUUUGAAUCCACCAAGUUUAGGGAUCCAAAUGCGGUUCAUGAAAUAAUGUGUUCCGUCCUCCUUCACUUCGAAAUUCUUUUCCAUCCCUCGUAACGCUUCGCUUGCUUUGUUUUCCGUCUUCAUGCCAUCGGACUGGGCUACUAUGAUUUGGGAGGUCAGGUGGGAUUGAAUGGUUAUGGAGAGAUUCUUUACAUGAUGAUUUGAGUAUUCUUUCCGACUCAAGGCAUCAGCUACCACGUUAGCCUUACCUGGGUGGUAAUUGAUUUCACACUCAUAAUCGUUUAGUAGCUCAACCCACCUUCAUUGCCUCAUGUUCAAUUCUUUUUGAUUUAGGAUAUGUUGGAGACUCUUGUGGUCCGUAAAAAUGGUGCACUUGGUACCAUAAAGGUAGUGCCUCCAAAAUUUUAAGGCGAAGAUCACAGAUCCCAAUUCUAAAUCAUGGGUCAUAUAGUUCACCUCGUGUGUCUUUUGUUGUCGAGAUGCAUAAGCUAUCACCUUCCCAUGUUGCAUGAGUAUGCAACCUAAACCCUGAUUCGAUGCAUCGCAGUAAACUACGAAGUCCUCUGUUCCAUCUGGUAGUGAUAGUACCGGUGCGUUGUAGAGUGCUCGCUUCAGAGUUCGGAAUGCAACCUCUUGCUUAUAUGUCCAUUCGAUGGGUACACCUUUUUGUGUAAGCAUGGUAAGUGGCUUAGUGGUCAUAGAGAAGUUUUGGAUGAGCCUCCUGUAAUAACCGGCUAGACCUAAAAAUUGAAAAUUUUAUGUGGGUGUCAUUGGGGUCGCCCAUUAUUCAAUGGAUUUGACCUUAGAAAGAUCCACGUAUAUCCAUUAUUCAAUGGAUUUGACCUUAGAAAGAUCCACGUAUAUCCCUUCUUGACUAACAACAUGACCCAAAAAGUUCACAUUGCGGAGUCAGAACUCACACUUAGAGAGUUUUGCAUAUAGUUUCUCGGUUCGCAGGGUUUCCAGGAUUUGUCGGUGAUGUUGGUCGUGCUCCUCUUCGUUUCGAGAGUAAACUAGAAUCUCAUCAAUGAAAACGAUGACAAAGUUGUCAAGGAAUGGUCAGCAGAUUCGAUUCAUUAGGUCCAUGAAUGCGGCAGGGGAAUUCGUUAGACCGAAGGGCAUUACGACGAAUUUAUAAUGUUCAUAACGACUUUGGAAAGGGGUUUUGGGGAUAUCCUCUUCCCUGACCUUGAGUUGAUGGUAUCCAGAUCGUAGAUCUAUCUUGGAGAAAUAGCUCGCGCUUUGAAGUUGGUCAAAUAGAUCGUCGAUUCAUGCAAGUGGGUAGCGGUUUUUGACAGUGAGCUUAUUUAGCUCCCUAUAGUCAAUGCACAUCAUAAAGGAUCCGUCUUUCUUCUUAACAAAGAGAACCGGAGCUCCCUAUGCUUAGAAGCUAGGUCAGAUGAAUCCUUUGUCCAAAAGCUCACUGAGUUGGCUGGACAAUUCAUGCAUCUGCGCAGGAGUCAAUCUGUAGGGCGAUUUGGCGGUGGGAGUAGCUCCUGGUACAAGAUCAAUUCGAAACUCGACUUGUCUCUCUGGGGGUAUUCCUGGAAGAUCAUCAGGGAAGACAUCCGAGAACUCGCAAGCUACUGGAAUGUCUCAAAUAUUGACCUCUUCCUUGGAUUUAUCCAAUGUAUGAGCCAGGAACGUCAAGUCUUUCUUUCGUAGAUACUUUUGUGCCUUAAUGCACGAGAUAAAACGAAGGUUCAUGUUGGGUUUGUCUCCGUAGAUAAUUAAGGUUUCGCGAUUUGGAAGUUGAAGGUGAACGACCUUCUCAUGACACAUAAUUUCAGCAUGGUGGGGGCUUAACCGAUCCAUGCCAACAAUCACAUCGAAACUCCUAAUGGAAACAGGCAUUAAGUUUAUUUGAAAGACGUGUUGGUCCGAGGUUGGGGUACAUCCGAUAUAGAUUUCCCCAGUGGAUUCUGUUUUCCCAUUGGCCAUUUCCACCAUAAAGGUUUCAUUAAGCUUUUGGGGUUGUUGUUUUAACAAGUGUUUAAAUCUAUUGCUUACAAGGCUUCGUUCUGCUCCGGUGUCAAAUAGGAUUCAUGCAUAAGUUCUGUUUAGGAGAAACGUACCGGUGACAACAGUGGGGUCUUGAACCGCUUCUCCCUGACCCAUGGUCAGCACUCUUCUUGUUCUUCCAUUCCGAGGGUUGUUGUUGUUGGGGCAGUUACGACGGAAAUUACCAAUCUUUCCACAUCCAUAGUUGGUGUGGCUCGGUCCAGCAUUGUUGCCACUGUUGUUGGUGUUGUUGUUGAUGUUGUUUUUAUUGCGAUUGUUGUUGUUGUUAUUUCCUUGCUGCUGAUUCUGGGGAGGAUAGGUCAUGUAAUAUUUUUCCGUGGGACCCUUUUGAUUGCAACUGGUGCAAUGCAUCUCUCUGAACUCUCCAUUAUGAUGGAGACUACACUUGUUGCACUUUGGGAGAUUACUAGAAUACUGUCUAGGAGCACUUGGAGCAGCUGAGACUGGAGGAUGUGGUGCAGAGGGAACUUGAGUGGUUGUAGCAUUAACUAUCACUGUUUGUUGCUUCAUGGACGACUCCGAGCCUUGUUGCCCCUUUCUCUUGUUAUUCUUUCCAUUCUUGUUGUCACUCUCCUUCUUGCCAUCUAUUUCCACUGGCUUCUCGCCCUUCUUUUUGUUGUGGUCGUAUAGUUUCUUGGCCAACUCUUGGCACUAUCGAAGGUUUCAGGAUUUGCAACUAUCACAUUUCCUUGGAUUUGGGAGGUUAAUCCCUAGAUGAAUCGUUUGAUUUUCUUUCCCUCCGAAGUAAUGAUGCCAGGGCACAAUAGAGAUAGUUCGCUAAACCUUGAUAUGUAUGCAUCAAUUUCGGAAUUUCGGACGGUGAGAUUCCAUAAUUCCUGUUCGAUUUUCUAAAUCUCAUCUCGCGGAUAGUAUUCGGCCAUCAACAUUUCUUCCAACUCCACCUAGGGCAUGGAGUUGGCUUCGGGGAGAGUCACAGCUUCUACAUGUCCGUUCCACCAAGUGAGAUCUUGAUCAACGAACGUGCAUGCGGCAAACUUCACCAUCAUCUCCUCAUGGCACUCUCAUAUCUCGAACACCGAUUCCACCUUCUCAAUCCAUCUUUUUAGGGUUAUCAUUCCCCCGGUGCCAUUAAAGGUUCGCGGCUUGGUAUUGGUGAAAUCUUUGUAGGAGCAUGUCUUGGUAGGUCCUUGGUUUAUCCCGUUGUUCGAACUUCCAGCUCCUUGUCUAUUGACUCCACCAUUGUUUCCUUGGUGGAUUUGUGUCAUGGCUGUAGUAACCGCAUUAGAUACAGCUGCUUGGAAUGCAGCUGAGUUAACUUCGGGAGGGGUUGGCCCAGGGUUUCCAUGGGCUGGUCGUCGAGGCAUCUUUCGGUCACAAAACGGAAAGAUGUUGAGUGCCUAAGUUUUGUGGGUUUGUGGUCUCAUGACUAGGUUUAUAUCAUGUAUUUAAGUAGUUUCUCAUAUCAACAUAUAAUCAUAGAAGCAUAGCACAUAACAAGUAAUAUUAUCACAACAAAACACAUAUAUUUUCCAUUAAUAAUAUUCGUACUUUGAUACAUGAAAAUUUGCUCGAAAGAGUAUACAUAAGUGGUGCAUGUUCGGCAGCGUGACGACUCUCUGAGUAGUGUAAUCACUUAAACAUAGAGUGAAUGGUACAUAGCAUAGAUCAUAGUACUAGUAAGUUAAGUCUACUCCUAACACUCUAUGGGCGCCCUAUGACUGCAGCGAUGUCAUAUACCGAAGUGUUGUACCAACAACUAGGCCAUCUCAGUCAUUUGUCCAAUGACUUCAUCCAUUUCCUGCUCAACUUACACUGCUCGUGCUUCCAUGGCUAAUAGUUGUUGCCGCAGAGCAGCAAUCUCAGCUUCUGGAGAGAGAUUCUCCCUUGCGGGAUUCCCUGGUGGGGCAGGGUGGUCCUGCUAUGCCUCGCUGACAGGUGAUGUGGCAUAGUCCUCGCGAGAGUCUUUUUCUUCCUCCAUGUCGCCAUCGGUCCCAUUAAACUUGUAGUCUGAGUCCAUGUACUUGUCAGGCCCUACGUCGUGUGCUCCCCUGAUCUCCCUCAGGCUCAUCUUCGAUCAUCCCGUGGGCCACUAAGACCUGAUGAAAUUGAAUUCCCUAGUGCUCCCAUUCCAUGGUGACUGAGAGGAGGUGUAUGAAUAAACUAUCAUUACUCCUAAGACGUUUUAAUUAUUGUAUAAAUCGAGUUAAUGUUCUCUUCUUGGUAAUAAAGGGGUAUGUUUUUAGGUUUACGUACCAUCGCGAUUUCCUUGGGACAUGUGAUAGUUGUACCUUGGGGGAAAUGUAGUUGAUCAGGCUACAUUCACUCCUUAAUGCGACUAUGAAUAGUACCGGCUUAACCGAGAUGCUAGCAUUAUCUUAUUUGAUUUGGUAUUAUGUUAUUUUUUUCCUAUGUCUUACGAGUAGGGGUGUUUUAUCGUUGUGUUUUAUUUGCUUUGUUUUGUUCAAAGUUGUUUUGUCUGUCACACCCCGGAACCAGAUGGCAGAAUCCGAGGGCUCGUAUGACUUAAAUUGAAUAUCAUCACAAUGAAUAUACAUGAAUCAUAACAUAAACAUCACCAUGCAUCAAUAUAUUACAAUUGGAAUUGUUCACACCAAGUACAUUGUUUUAACAUUACAUAUCCAUAAAUAAAUUGUUUGAUAGAUAUCAUAAACAAAACACUCUAAGAUACUUGGUAUUACCCAUCCACUUAUCUGUUACCUGAGAAUACAAGUUAUUUUGGAAAAACAUCAACAUAUGAAAUGUUGGUGAGUUCAUAAAUAAGGCUGUGAAUAAAAUGAUUUGUAUAGUUUGUAAAACCCAGAAAAUCCGAUAUUUUCUGAAAAGUCAAUAGUUUAUCAAAUUGUGAAGAUCCAUAAGUUGAUGCUAGAAUGAUUUCAAAACACAAAAAAAGAGGUAUUUUUGUAUUAUAGUUAUAUAAUUUACGAGCGAGUAGUAUUGAUUUCUCCGGAAAACCCGAUGUUUUCUGAUGUCGAAAGGUAUACGUGAUUACAAAUUGUUAACCCACCACAAUGACUGGAUUUUGAUUACUCACCCUUGAAUACUUGGAUGGUGUUGGAUAAACCUAGUGAGUCGUAGCGAUGUCUGGUGAAGGCAAGUUAUAACAACCAACUACGAACGUCCCAUAGAGGUGUCGGCCGUUGUUACUCACUUAAUCCAAACCACCUUGAUUACUGUUGAAUAACGUCCUAAUUCCGUCUACUUUGAUUAUUCAAAAGCCUUAGCGAACGAAGAGAAGAGGAGUACGAACUCCUGCUACAAUCGUAAGUACCUUAGGUUGUCGGGGAUGCGAAAGACAUGAUGGCCCAACUCGCAUUUGAUUACUUUGACCUUACUAGCAAUACUAAUUGACCACUAGGGCCCAAUAGCACAUAAAAUCCAUUGAAAGUCCUUUUAUAUGGAAUUGGGCCAUAGGAGGCCCAAUAACACAUAAGUGUUAUCCUUUUGGACCCAAAGAUCAUGUUAAUGGACUUCCAAGGUCCAACAAGCAUGAUUUCAAAAUUUCAAGCCCAAAGUUUGAAUAAUUACUCGUCUUAGGUAUAACAUAUGUAUUGGAGGGUUCGAUUUAACGGUUGUUGUUUUUGUAUCGAUUCGAGACCGAUCGAUUCGUUUAUAACGAUAUUUGGAGUUAAACGUGUAUUCGUCUUUCGAUUUUUCAGAAGUCGUGGUUUUGUAUUUGACUUAAUUAAAUAUUUUGUCUAAAAUAGUGGUCGACCUUUUCAACACCUUCCUUUUAUAAAAAUAACAGUUUCAGUCCUUUUUAUAUAAAAGAAAAGACAUUUUUAGCCCUUAAAAUAUUUUCUUGAUAGUCUUGCAUCAUAGACGUGUUGAAAUAAUAGUUUUAACUCAAAACUUAUUUUGUUAACAGUUUCACCCCUUUCAGAAUAAUAUUUUUCGAUGUAAAACCCAACUUUUCGCAUUUUUUUACUGUUUUGGCCCACUAUCCAAAAACUUUACAUUUUUGAUCCUUUUUGGAAAUGAAAAGCAUUUUUGACCCUUGAAAUAGUUUUGCUACGCUUUUUAUCCCCUGUUUUGAGGAAAGUUUCAUUUCAGCCCCUUUAAUUGUCUUUUUGUCGCAAUUUUGGGCUUAUUGUGCCGAGAAACCCAAAAUUAGCCCAUUAAGCUUAAAAUUUACAUUUCAAUUCCAUUGGAAAUUUUAAUGUUCAUAAAAACAAUUAUUUCAACUGCUUUGACUCUUUAACCCUUAAGAAACCAUGAUUUGGCAACUUUUAACCCAAAAUUUGUAUAUUUGACAAUUUAAGCCCAAAAAUGGGUUUUAUGUUGAAGUAUGUUUAACACAAUCUUAUAAGUUAUUAUUCUUCACUUGUUUGGUGUAAAAUAACUUAGAUCAUGUUUGUUUACAUUCUCAUGUCAUAGAUCUCGAGUUAAAACCCCUUUUUAGUUACUUGUUCAUCACAAAAACAUAUAAAAUCAUACAUUCAUGCAUAAAAUCACACAUAUCAUACACAUACACAUAUAUCUACACAUUUUCUUGUAUUCUCCCCCAUAAAACAUAUGGAAACCGAAAAGAGAGGGGUAUGAAGCUCAGCUUGAGUUGUGGGUUCGGUUUUGAAGAGAGAAAUGAUGAAGAUUCGAUUCUAGCAAGUCUUUCUUGAAAGAUUUGACUUAGAUGUGUUCUAAGAUGCAAGCUCACGAGCUAGAUCAUGGAUUAAACAUCAUCUUACCUUAGAUGAUGAGUUUUAUGGUUUGUUUUCCUUGAAAAAGCCUCCUUAAUUUCGAGAAUUUGAUGAAGGAUGAAGGGAGUUUCUUUGAGAGAGUUUGAGUGAAUGUGUGUGUGUGUGUUUGUGUUGUUUCGGCUGAGAGAAAAAGAGAGAGAUAUUGAUGGGAUGUUUGCAUGGAGAUAUGAGAUGAAUGCAUGCAGAUCCAAGGGGUAAAUGUGAGGUGGCAAUGCUAAAGUGAACCCUUUCUCUCUUGGGUUGUUGGGCCGCGAAAGGAGAUGGGAAAAGGAAGAAAAUUGGGCUUUUUUCCCUUAGGCCCAUCAUGUGCUUUACUUAGAUGAUUUUUGGCCCAACUAAAUCAAAGCAUGAUUUUUAUGACCCAUUAGGACUAAUUUAAAAUUGUUGUGAUCCAAUAAGGCCUAAAACAUUAAGUUUCAUGUACAUGGGUCAAAUUUGGGCCCAUUUAAGAGUUCUAAGCCCAAAAUAGUCAAAUUGGAAGCCUAUGGGUCCAUUAGGCCCAAUAAGGGAAUCCUAGUCCAAAAUGGACUUAAACUGGGAUUUUAAGGGUUUCCAAUUCUUUAUUAACUAGUUGUAGUGCUUGAAUGAAGUGUUUUAUGAAGUUUUGUUGUUAUUGAAGAAGCAUCAUACAUGUUUUCACAUUGUUGGUUCACAAUUGAUAUAAUUGUUGUAGUUACAAAGCAUCAAAAUUUCUAGUUGUGACAUCAUCCCCCCGUUAGAGGGAAUUUCGUCCCAAAAUUCUUUUGAAAGCUAGAUUUGAGGAUGUGAGAAUAGGUGAGGAUACUUCUGCUUCAUUUGAUCUCCGCGUCCCAUGUGAAUUCAGGUCCGCGCCGUGCGUUCCAUCGAACCUUCACAUUCGGAAUGCCGCUCUGCUUAGUACGCUUCACCUCUCUAUCCAUGAUUUCGAAUGGUUCUUCGAUGAACAGGAGAUUCUCAUUGAUUUCUAUUUCAUCAUGGGGAAUGAAGAGGGUUUCAUCGGAUAAGCACUUCUUUAGAUUUGAAACAUGGAACAUGGGGUGUACACUGCUGAGCUCAGUGGGUAGCUGCAGUCUAUACGCCACUGUACCAAUUCGAGCAAGAAUCUCGAAAGGUCCAAUGUAUCGCAGAUUCAAUUUUCCCUGUCUUCCAAAACGAAUAACCCGUUUCCAGGGGGAGACUUUUAACAACACCUGAUCUCCGACUUGAAACUCCAAGGGCUUUAGCCAUUUAUCAGCGUAGCUCCUCUGUCGGUCGCGUGAUGCUUGUAGUCGAGCUCUGAUCUGAAUUAUCUUCUCGGUCGUCUCGCGUAUGAUUUCUGGUCCCGUUAAGGAAUUGUUUGGCAUUUUGCCCUCUAGCUAGUUGGGUGUCUCCUACCUCAGCCCAGCACAUCGGUGAUCUACAUUUACGCCCGCAUAAUGCUUCGAAAGGAGCGACUUUGAUACUCGAGUGAUAAGCGUUGUUAUAUGAGAACUCAAUCAGAGGCAAGUGGGUAUGCCACAAUUUUCGAAAGUCUAUCACACAUGCACGGAUCAUAUCUUCCAUAGCUUUUUGAAGCAAUUGCCAAAAGCGGGAAGUAAAUCUACUAUCUCUAUCUGAGAUGAUAGAUACGGGUACUCCGUGUGUCACACCCCCAAACCAGAAUGGCGGAAACAUUCGGGGGUGGAUGACUUCACGUAGUAUCACAACCAUUGAAUAUUGUAAAGAAAGUAACACAACCAUCACAUAUAUAAUGAAAACGUAUGUUGUUGCGUUAUACAUAAUAGAAAAAGAAUAUUACAAUGAGAUGAUAAAUGUUCAAUAAUAAAACAUCUUUAGUGUUCCUUUCUCCAAAAGCUGGUGGUUACCUGUAUUACUGAUUCCCUGAGAAAUACAAGUGGUUUCGAAAAAGUGUCAACAAUUAAGUUGGUGAGUUCAUAAGCGUUUUGUAUGGAAAAAGUAUGUCCUUUUUGAUAGUAAACCGAUGAACGAGGUUUUCAGAAAAUCCAAUAUUUUCUAUAAAUGAUUUGAAAAGUUUCCCGUGUUGGAGUGCGUUUGUGUUUUCCAUACUUGAAUAAUAGUGAUAAAAUUUGUGUUAACGAUAAAAUGGAAAACUGAAAUGCAUAUAUGAAUCUCGUAAAUCUAACUUGUUUUUAUACUUUUAUGUGAGUUUUAUAACCAUGCUAAUGACAUUGUUGGCCUGUAACAACGUUCUUCAGGCGUUGGAACUGUUAUGACAUUUGUCACCCCAGGCCUGCCGGCCUAGCUGUAGCUAACAGCUUAGGUGUGGGAUUGUCAAUCCCGUAUAGAUCUAUACACAAGUAUCACGCUCCCCCUACAAGGGAUUAUGGUAUAUAAUACAGGACUUAAUAAUGCAUACUCGAACGUACGUGAAGCUGUCUCACAUUACUAGGUAUAAACAGAUUUACGAUGAUAAAAGACUGUACUUCUUUUGAAAGCAUUUCAUUUGUCGAGAUGUAUAUGUAAAAUGUAUGAAUCACUUGAAUACUAUGCUCAUUAUAGUUUGUCAAAAGUAUGUUCCCAUUUGGUAAUAACAACUUGGUGAUAUAAUAUCCCUUUAAAACAUAAAGUUAUUUUUGUAUCAACACUCUAUAAGAACGAUAUUAUAAAAAUAAUACUUUGAUUUGUAAUGUACUUGUAUUUCCCCCCCUAAAACGUGAAAAGAAUUGAAAAGUAGGGGUAUGAACUCACUCGUUUCGAAGAGAGAGGCUAGGGUUGAGCAGAACUUCGUCCGCGGAUGGUUGCGUCGUCGGGCUCUUCGGGGAUCUCUGCAGCGUAAAUCUUCCGUCGGGGGCUCGAGUGCGGAAACCGAGGUCGUCGGGAGUGGUCUCUGGGGCUUAGAAGUAUGGGAGAAUGACUGAUGAAUUGUGAGGGUGUGCCAAAGUUCGAAGCUCAUGCCAUCUAUUUAUAGUGCUGGAAAACCCCGUACGCGGCGCGUACUUCCGGAGUACGCGGGGCGUAACAUGGCGUCAUGGCUUACGACUCGGGUCUAGCUAGCGUAGCUUGGGCGGGUCGAUGGGACUACUGGUUCUAGCCGGGUGUAGCUUGGGCGGGCCGAUGAGACUCGACUCUGGGUCUAGUACGCGGGGCGUACUCCCAGAGUACGCGGGGCGUAAUCCCUGCUUCCGACUUCUAAAUUCCGUAACUUUCGCGUACGAUCUCCGUUUUUCGCGUUCUUUAUAUCCACGCGUAGGUGAGAUUAUGCUCUACAACUUUCCUUUAGACUCCGUCGGCUAGUUUUGACUUUAUUUUUAAUGAUAUAUUUUUAAUAGGCCGGGCCUCCUAAAGUUCGUUAAAAAUUCAUAGGUUCUUUAUUCGACGUCGGUUUUCGUUUGUCUUUUUAUUGUUUUAUUACUACUGAGGAGAUCUUCAACUUUCGUUUAGGUUGCGUUAGCUAAAUAACACUCGAUCUUCAAUCCGAGUUUUUAGCCCUCUACUACUGUUACGAAACUUUGAAAAUUCGUAACUUCUUCAUACGAGGUCCAAUUUGGGCGAUCUUUUUAUGUACGUUCACCUUUCAACGAGAUCUACGACUUUUGUUUAGAUACUUAAGGCUUAAAAUGCAUUUUAUUGAGAUUCUACUUUUUACGUCAAAUAAUGUUUUAACGUCGCGUCGUAAAUAUACGAGUGGUUAUAAUUUCUUCAAUAUAACCCGGUUUUGAGCGUUCUUUAUGUUUUUGGAAACCUUGGCAUGAUAUCUAAUAUUCGAUGCAUCCCAACUUAGAUACUUGAACACUUUAUUUUCGAGGUUAAUUUCGUUGUUUUUAGCUUUCGAGUGUUUACAAUGCUUUUUGGGAAAAAUAGGGUUGUCACAUCAUCCCCCUGUUAAGGGAAUUUCGUCCCGAAAUUUAAUCUAAGAUAGAGUUUACAGUUUUAGGAAAAAGAUGCGGGUACUUUUGUUUCAUCUGAUCUUCGCGUUCCCAGGUGUAUUCAGGUCCUCGCUUGGCGUUCCAGCGGACCUUUACAAUGGGUAUGCGGCUUUGUUUAGUCCUUUUGAUUUCCCGAUCCAUGAUCUCUACUGGUUCCUCCACAAAUUGAAGGUUUUCAUUUAUUGCAAUUUCGUCUAGAGGGACGACAAGGGUCUCGUCGGAUAAGCACUUCUUUAGAUUUGAUACGUGAAAGGUAGGGUGUACGUUGUGGAGUUCCUGAGGUAGUCUAAGUUUGUAAGCCACUGGACCGAUCCUGGCAAGGAUCUCGAAUGGUCCGAUGUAUCUAGGGUUCAGUUUUCCACGUUUUCCGAAGCGUAUUAAGCCUUUCCAAGGUGAGACUUUGAGUAGGACAUGGUCUCCAACUUGGAAUUCCAAGGGUUUGCGUCUCUUAUCUGCGUAACUCUUUUGUCUAUCUCUUGAUGCUUUUAGACGUUCUCGGAUUUGAACAAUCUUCUCCGUAGUCUCCCUUAUGAUUUCUGGUCCAGUGAGCGUGUUGUCAGUUGCUUGUCCUUUUGCUAGUUGCGUGUCCCCCACUUCGGCCCAGCACAAAGGUGACCUGCAUUUGCGGCCAUAGAGGGCUUCGAACGGGGCAGCCUUGAUGCUGGUGUGGUAGCUAUUGUUGUACGAGAACUCGACCAAUGGUAGAUGUGUGUCCCAUGCUUUGCCAAAAUCGAUUACGCAAGCUCUCAGCAUGUCUUCUAGGGUUUGUAUAGUUCUCUCACUCUGGCCGUCGGUUUGUGGGUGAUAAGCGGUACUCAUGUCUAGUCUUGUCCCCAAAGCUUUUUGUAGCGACUGCCAGAACCUUGAGGUGAAUCUACUAUCUCGGUCCGAGAUAAUGGAUAUGGGCACACCAUGCAGUCGUACAAUUUCUCUGAGGUAUGUCCUUGUUAACUUCUCCAAUUUAUCCGUCUCUUUGAUCGGUAGGAAAUGCGCUGACUUAGUUAACCUGUCGACAAUUACCCAAAUGGUGUCGAGUCCGCUUGUUGUCUUGGGCAACUUUGUUAUGAAAUCCAUGGUUAUCCGCUCCCACUUCCAUUCGGGUAUUUCUGGUUGUUGUAAUAAACCCGAGGGCUUCUGAUAUUCCACCUUGACUUUGGCACAUGUCAGGCAUUUGCUUACGUAGGUAGCAAUUUCGGCUUUCAUGUUUUGCCACCAGUACAACUUCUUGAGAUCGAGAUACAUCUUAUCGGAGCCGGGAUGUAUGGAGUAUCGUGUUUUAUGGGCUUCGUCCAUAACGAUUUCUCUGAAUCCACCAAACUUCGGUAUCCAAAUUCGAUCCAUGAAAUAACGAAUUCCGUUGUUCUUGGUCUCAAGGUUCUUAUCCAUUCCUCUUAGGGCUUCUCCUGUCACAUUUUCGGAUUUCAAGGCUUCUAUUUGGGCUUCCUUGAUUUGCGUGAACAGGUGUGAAUGGAUUGUCAUAGUUAGGGAUUUCACUCGGCGACCUGAGUACUCCUUCCGACUGAGUGCAUCAGCCACUACAUUAGCCUUUCCGGGGUGAUAUCGAAUUUCGCAUUCAUAAUCACUAAGUAGUUCUACCCAUCGCCUCUGUCUCAUGUUGAGUUCCUUCUGGUUGAGGAUAUGUUGGAGGCUUUUAUGAUCAGUGAAGAUGGUACAUUUUGUGCCGUAGAGAUAGUGUCUCCAUAUCUUCAGAGCGAAGACGACUGCUCCUAGCUCAAGAUCAUGCGUUGUGUAGUUCACUUCGUGCGUCUUUAGUUGUCUUGAGGCGUAGGCGAUGACCUUCCCUCUUUGCAUUAAGACACACCCAAGUCCUUGGUUUGAAGCAUCACAAUAGACCACGAAGUCCUCCGUUCCUUCUGGCAAGGUUAGGAUGGGCGCACUACAUAAGGCUCGCUUUAGUGUCUGAAAUGCACUGUCUUGUUUUUCUCCCCAGUCGAAGGUCACAUUCUUCUGGGUUAGGGUGGUAAGUGGCUUGGCAAUCUUUGAAAAGUUCGGUAUGAAUCUUCGGUAAUACCCGGCGAGUCCCAAAAAUUGCCGGAUUUCUGUAGGGGUUCUUGGAGUAGUCCAACUAUCUAUUGCCUUUAUCUUGGAGGGGUCCACGUGUAUUCCUUCUUUGCUUACAACAUGUCCUAGGAAAUCCACUUCCCGAAUCCAAAAUUCACAUUUGGAAAAUUUUGCGUAAAGUUUCUCUGCCCUUAAUGUUUCCAGUACUUGGCGGAGAUGUUUGCUGUGUUCUUCCUGGCUUCUUGAAUAGAUGAGUAUAUCAUCUAUGAACACGAUCACGAACUUGUCCAGGAAGGGACGACAUACUCGGUUCAUCAAGUCCAUGAACACUGCUGGAGCAUUCGUCAAUCCGAAGGGCAUUACCACAAAUUCGUAGUGACCAUAACGUGUUCGGAAAGCCGUUUUGGGGAUGUCUCCUUCCAGUACUCGUAGUUGGUGAUAACCAGACCUUAGAUCGAUCUUUGAGAAGUAGCUUGCCCCCUGCAGUUGGUCGAAUAGAUCGUCUAUGCGCGGUAAGGGAUAUCGGUUCUUGAUUGUGAGUUUGUUUAGCUCCCGAUAAUCGAUGCACAUGCGAAAGGAUCCGUCCUUCUUCUUCACAAAUAGGACUGGCGCUCCCCAUGGUGAGAAACUUGGUCUGAUGAAUCCCUUGCUUAGCAGCUCGUUUAAUUGACUGGAUAGUUCCUGCAUCUCGGCUGGGGCUAAACGGUACGGCGACUUUGCUACAGGGGUAGCCCCGGGGAUUAAGUCGAUUCUGAACUCGACUUGACGUUCCGGUGGGAUUCCUGGAAGAUCUUCUGGGAAAAUAUCCGGGAAGUUGCAGACUUCCGGAAUAUCUUUAAUGUUUUUCGAUUCUCGUUUCUUGUCUACUACGUGGGCUAGAAAGGCAUGAUAUUCCUUACGAAGAUACUUUUGUGCUUUAAUACAGGAAAUGAUUUGUAAACUUGAACUAGGUUUGUCGCCAUAAAUGACAAGAGUUUCACCGUUUGGCAGAUUUAAGCGAACAGCCCUUUCGUGGCAAAGGAUAUCGGCAUGGUGAAGGCUCAACCAGUCCAUACCGAUGAUGACAUCGAAACUUCUUAUGGAAAUGGGCAUAAGAUCGACUUGAAACAAGUGCUCGUUUAAAUUUAGUGUGCACCCUACGUAUAAAUCGUUUGCGUGUUCUGUUUUACCGUUUGCCAUUUCUACAGUGAAUAUUUUAUUGAGUGGUUGGGGUUCUUGAUUAAGUAGGUGUUUGAAUUUAUGACUCACAAAACUUCUCUCCGCACCGCAGUCAAAAAGUAUGCAUGCAUAAGUGUUGUUGAGUAGAAACGUACCCGUAACCACCGUGGGGUCCGCUAUUGCUUCUCUCUGUCCUACUGCCAGCACUCUCCCCACACCGCCAAUAUUCCUUUCCUUGGGACAAUCCCUCCUGAAGUGUCCAGUCUCUCCGCACCCAUAACAUGCCCGGCUUACCCCAGUUCCAGGAACCUGAGUAAUUGGUCGUGCCGGUGCUUUACAGAAACGGGCUGUGUGCCCUUUCCUGUCACAGUUCUUGCAGUGCAUCUCGCGACAAAUACCAUGGUGAUGGUAGUUGCACUUGCUGCACUUGGGCAGAAUCCCUGCAUAUGGUUUUGUUGGUGCAGAGGUAGCAGGAGUUGUGGUGGGGGUAGUAGCAGCAUAAACCGCAACCAUUUGUUUCUUUGAAGGUUCUUGUGAAGUUUGCCCCUUCCUUUUGUUCCAAAAUUUCUUCUUGUUGUUGUUGUUGGCAUUGAUUUCAUUGUUGCUGUUCCCUUUGGUUGGUUCAGCCAUAAUCGCCGCGACUCCUUGACAGACACCAUGAUCAACAAGAGAUUGCGCUAGUUCCUUGGCGCUGGCGAAAGUCAAGGGUCUGGAAGCUAGCACACUUCCUCGAAGUUGGGGUGAUAGUCCCCAAAUGUAUCUCUCAACCUUUUGGCUCUCCAGGGUUAACAUUCCUGGGCAAAGUGUUAUUAAGUCACUGAACCUGUUGGUGUAACCAGCUAUGUCCGAUCCUACCAUCGAGAGGUUCCACAGUUCCUGUUCAAGCUUCUGAAUCUCGCCUCUUGGGCAGUAUUCUCGAAGGAGCAUUCUUUUCAGGUUUUCCCAACCCAUGGAGUUUGCCACCACCAGGGUUAGUGUCUGGACGUGGCCGUUCCACCAUGUCAGGGCGCGUUCAGAGAAAGUAAAAGCGGCGAACUUUACUUUGCUUUCUUCAGGACAUGCACAGAUUUCGAAUACAGCUUCUGUUUUCUCUAUCCAUUGAGAUAGAGCCAAUACUCCCCCAGUCCCGCAAAAGGGAAUAGGUUUUCCGUUGGUGAAGUCUUUGUAAGUGCAUACCCCUGAACGGCUUUGACCUUGGCCAUUUGUAAAACUGUUUGUUCCUCCCCCCGAUCCGUUGUUGCUCAUUUGAGCCAUUGCUGCAGUUACAGCAGCGGUUACAGCAGUCUGGAACAUAACGGUGUCCAUAAUUGGAGGAGGUGGUGGAGGUGGUGUUGAAGUUGAGUUUCUGCGUGUUGAUCUACGAGGAGGCAUGUUCUGGUAGAGAAAAAUAAGAAUGAAUACUAUAAGUUUCUAAUGUUUUGACAAUCGUGUGUUAGUUGUAUCUUGUAAUUUGUUUUGACUUUAGUUUAUGGUUUCAAGGUAGGCAUAGAAAUUUAAAACUCGAAAUUUUUGAGAGGUAUAUAAUAAGAAAUACUUCAUAUUUAUACAUAUAGGUCACACCUGAGGUGUGUUACAUUGCAUAUCUUGUUCGGGAAAAUUUGAUCCUCCUAGAGAUCUCCGAUUACGGAUACAACAGGAAAAACAAGGGAAAUAAAGGAAAAACUUUUAUCCGAAAUCCUAAUCUAUAACAAAAUUGUUGGGCAUCGAACAAGCUCUACUUGCGGCGUUUGGAGCUAGACUCGGCAUCCGACCGUUUGACUCCCAUCAGUCGCCUCUCAAGAUCUGCUUGUUGUUCCUUCAUCUCUCUUAUAUCUGCCAGAGCCGUUAUCAUUUGGUUCUGAAGUGUCCCCGUGUAGAUUUGGGUAUUCUCAUGUAGUCAUUCCAAACGGCGAAUGUCAGCGGCGUUACCUUGGGUAGCAGCAUUGACCUCGCGAACUCUGGUUGCUUGCCCAUCCGUCUCGUAGUUUUGGGUAGCUAUAGCGUUCACAUGAACAGGAAGUGCUCGAUCAGCUGAGCUUCCCCCACUGACAUUGUAAAAAUCUCGGCACAUGCCGAAAGGAGGGCAUACACCUUGUUGGCGGCUCCAGUAGUAGAGGUGACUUCCCCACAUGGGAAUGGGUCCCGGUUGAUAUGGUCUGAUUUCGGGAGGAUGAGGGAUGGGAGGGUCGUACACUUCUGGCUCGGAGUCUGUCCCGCUAGAAAUCUCCACGAUCUCUUCGUCGACUUCGAACUCCUCUCCGACUUCGACUUCGAAUUCUUCCUCGACCUCUUCUUCGAUUUCCUCUGGGUCUUCCUCCGGGUCUUCUUCUAUCCAACCGCCGUUGCCUUGGUUUGGGUAGUAGGGAUCUCCUGGUAAAUGGAAUCCGGCCAUUUGUCUGUACUAGGAUGGAUGUAUGAGAACUUUAUAAGAAAAGAAAAUUCUAUUUAACGACUUACUAUUUUUAACUAUAAUUUGUACAACUAUUUUUAAUAAUACUCCUAUAAUAUUUCAAUUUGGCGAAACUAAAAUAAUUUGUAUUUGGUAAGUUCUUGGCUUGUUGUCCACUAUGACCAUUCCUCGACGUACGUUGGUCAAAUCCAGAAUAAAUAUAGUUGAUCAGGCUAUAUUCAUUCUCGACCUGAUUACAUACCCCGAGGCUCAAUCGUAGUGUCGUAACUUGCCUUAAUACUUUUUAGUAAAACUUUUUAUGAUACGAGAUUAAUGCAUGCUUUUAAAAAUGUAUAUCUUUAAAAGAAAGUAUUUUGUUCAUGAAAAUGUUUCAUCAGAGGGUUUUUGGUCCCCUUUGUAUUUAUAGUUUGUAUAUCGUAUGUGGUUCGAUAUACUUAGUUCACUAUAAACAAUGCUCUGAUACCAAUCUGUCACACCCCCAAACCAGAAUGGCGGAAACAUUCGGGGGUGGAUGACUUCACGUAGUAUCACAACCAUUGAAUAUUGUAAAGAAAGUAACACAACCAUCACAUAUAUAAUGAAAACGUAUGUUGUUGCGUUAUACAUAAUAGCAAAAGAAUAUUACAAUGAGAUGAUAAAUGUUCAAUAAUAAAACAUCCUUAGUGUUUCCUUCUCCAAAAGCUGGUGGUUACCUGUAUUACUGAUUCCCUGAGAAAUACAAGUGGUUUCGAAAAAGUGUCAACAAUUAAGUUGGUGAGUUCAUAAGUGUUUUGCAUUGAAAAGUAUGUCCUUUUUGAUAGUAAAUCGAUGAACGAGGUUUUCAGAAAAUCCAAUAUUUUCUAUAAAUGAUUUGAAAAGUUUCCCGUGUUGGAGUGCGUUUGUGUUUUCCAUACUUGAAUAAUAGUGAUAAAAUUUGUAUUAACAAUAAAAUGGAAAACUGAAAUGCAUGUAUGAAUCUCGUAAAUCUAACUUGUUUUUAUACUUUUAUGUGAGUUUUAUAACCAUGCUAAUGACAUUGUUGGCCUGUAACAACGUUCUUCAGGCGUUGGAACUGUUAUGACAUUUGUCACCCCAGGCCUGCCGGCCUAGCUGUAGCUAACAGCUUAGGUGUGGGAUUGUCAAUCCCGUAUAGAUCUAUACACAAGUAUCACGCUCCCCCUACAAGGGAUUAUGGUAUAUAAUACAGGACUUAAUAAUGCAUACUCGAACGUACGUGAAGCUGUCUCACAUUACUAGGUAUAAACAGAUUUACGAUGAUAAAAGACUGUACUUCUUUUGAAAGCAUUUCAUUUGUCGAGAUGUAUAUGUAAAAUGUAUGAAUCACUUGAAUACUACACUCAUUAUAGUUUCUCAAAAGUAUGUUCCCAUUUGGUAAUAACAACUUGGUGAUAUAAUAGCCCUUUAAACAUAAAGUUAUUUUUGUAUCAAAACUCUAUAAGAACGAUAUUAUAAAAAUGAUACUUUGAUUUGUAAUGUACUUGUAUUCCCCCCCUAAAACGUGAAAAGAAUUGAAAAGUAGGGGUAUGAACUCACUCGUUAAGUUUGAAGAGUGAGGCUAGGGUUGAGUAGAACUUCGACCGCGAAUGGUUGCGUCGUCGGCUCUUCGGGGAUUCCUGCAGCGUAAAUCUUUCGUCGGGGGCUCGAGUGCGGAAACCGAGGUGAUGGAAUGGUCUCUGGAGCUUUAGAAGAGUGUGAGAGUAUCUGGAGGUUUGUGAAUGUGUGCUUAAACUCGAAGCUUAUGCCUUCUAUUUAUAGGGCUGGAAAACCCCGUACGCGGCGCGUACUUCCGGAGUACGCGGGGCGUAAGAUGGCGUCAUGGCUUACGACUCGGGUCUAGCUAGCGUAGCUUGGGCGGGUCGAUGGGACUACUGGGUCUAGCCGAGCGUAGCUUGGGCGGGCCGAUGAGACUCGACUCUGGGUCUAGUACGCGGGGCGUACUCCCAGAGUACGCGGGGCGUAAUCCCUGCUUCCGACUUCUAAAUUCCGUAACUUUCGCGUACGAGCUCCGUUUUUCGCGUUCUUUAUAUCCACGCGUAGGUGAGAUUAUGCUCUACAACUUUCCUUUAGACUCCGUCGGCUAGUUUUGACUUUAUUUUUAAUGAUAUAUUUUUAAUAGGCCGGGCCUCCUAAAGUUCGUUAAAAAUUCAUAGGUUCUUUAUUCGACGUCGGUUUUCGUUUGUCUUUUUAUUGUUUUAUUACUACUGAGGAGAUCUUCAACUUCCGUUUAGGUGGCGAUAGCUAAAUAACACUCGAUCUUCAAUCCGAGUUUUUAGUCCUCUACUACUGUUACGAAACUUUGAAAAUUCGUAACUUCUUCGUACGAGGUCCAAUUUGGGCGAUCUUUUUAUGUACGCUCACCUUUCAACGAGAUCUACGACUUCGGUUUAGAUACUUAAGGCUAAAAUGCAUUUUAUUGAGAUUCUACUUUUUACGUCAAAUAAUGUUUUAACGUCGUGUCGUAAAUAUAUGAGUGGUUAUAAUUUCUUCAAUAUAACCCGGUUUUGAGCGUUCUUUAUGUUCUUUGAAACCUUGGCAUGAUAUCUAAUAUUUGAUGUAUCCCAACUUAGAUACUUGAACAUUUUAUUUUCGAGGUUAAUUUCGUUGAUUUUUAGCUUUCGAGUGUUUACAAUGCUUUUUGGAAAAAAAUAGCGUUGUCACACCGUGGAGUUUCACGAUUUCUUUGAUGUAGAUUCUUGUCAGGUGCUCCAUCUUGUAUGAUUCUUUUACUGGUAGGAAAUGGGUGGAUUUCGUUAAACUAUCAACUAUUACCCAGAUUGUGUCCAAAUCAUCCAUCGACUUGGGUUGUUUGGUCACAAAAUCCAUGGUAAUCUUUUCCCGUUUCAACUCUGGAAUUACUGGUUGCUUUAGUAAUUCGGAGGGCUUCUCAUAUUCCACCUUUACAUUAGCACAAGUGAGGCACUUGCUAAUGUAAGUGGCAAUCUCUGCCAUCAUAUUAGGCCACCAAUAAUGUUGCUUAACAUCCAAGUACAUUUUGUCUAAACCUGGAUGGAUGGAGUAUCGCGUUUUGUAGGCUUCGUUCAUGACUACCUCUUUGAAUCCUCCAUGUUUAAGGACCCAAAUGCGGUUCAUGAAAUAAUAUGCUCCCCCCUAUUUCACUUCGAGAUUCUUUUCCAUUCCACGUAAUGCUUCGCUUGUUUUGUUCUCUGCCUUCAUGGCAUCGAACUGGACUGCCCUGAUCUGAGAGGUUUAGUGGGAUUAGAUGCUUAUCGAGAGAGUUUUCACGCGACGAUUUGAGUAUUCUUUUUCACUCAAGGCAUCAGCUACCACGUUAGCCUUGCCUGGGUGGUACUUGAUUUCACACUCAUAAUCGUUUAGUAACUUAACCCAUCUUCGUUACCUCAUGUUCAAGUGUUUUUGAUUUACAAUAUGGUGGAGGCUCUUGUGGUCCAUAAAAAUGGUGCACUUUGUAUCGUAAAGGUAGUGCCUCCAGAUUUUUAAGGCAAAGACCACGGCUCCCAACUCCAGAUCAUAGGUUGUAUAAUUCACUUCGUGUGUCUUUAGCUGUCCUGAUGCAUAAGCUAUCACCUUCCCACACUGCUUAAGUACACAACCUAAGCCCUGAUUAGACGCGUCGCAGUAUACUACGAAAUCUUCUGUUCCUUCUGGUAAUCAUAGCACCGGCGCACUGCAGAGUGCUUGUUUUAGAGUUUGGAAUGCAGCUUCUUGCUAGUCCAUCCAUUCAAAGGGUAUGCCCUUUUGCGUAAGCACAGUAAGCAGUUUGGCUGUCUUUGAUAAAUUCUGAAUGAAUCUCCUGUAAUAGCCUACGAGACCUAGACUGGCCGAGUCUAACUGUAGCGAACAGCUGAGGUGUGGGGGAGUCACCCCCAUAUAGAUCUAUACACAAACUCUCGGUCUCACUCCAGGAGACUUUGAUUAUAACUACAGACUACGACCGACAUACGUUGGUGCCACCCGUUAUUAAUUACUAAAUCCCAAUUGACUUUGAUUACUAUUGAUUAUCGACCCGUAUUUGUUUACUUGGAUUAACGAUAGACCUAAAAAACGAGGAGAAGAGGAUUAAAAUAUCCUACUAUUCCCGCGUAUUAUUUAUGGCUAUUGAUUAUACGAAGGACACACUGACCCAUUUCGCAUUUGAUUUACAUGGACCUUACUAGCAAUGCUAAUGGGCCACUAAGGCCCAAUAGCACUUAAAAGCCAUUGAGGGUCCCUUAAAUAUGAAAUUGGGUCAUAGAAGGCCUAAUAACAUUUCUAAUUAUCCUUUGGGCCCAAAAAUUGUUAAUGGGUCAGAAAGGCACAAUAAGUAUGUUUGGAACUUUCAAGCCCAAAGAAUUUAAUGUUUACUUGUUUAAGGAAUUGUAUAAUUGUUGGAAGGUUUGAUUGAACGCUUGUUAUUUUUUUGUAUCGACACGAGACCCGUCGAUUUGUUUAUAACGAUAUUUAUAUUAUACGUAUAUUCAUCUCUCUAUUUUCAUGGGUUGUGACUUUUAGUAUUUUUGACUCAAAUAUCUUAGAAAUAAAAUAAUUGGUUCAAAAUAUUUGUUUGACCCCUUUUAGCCCUUUUUAUUAAAAAUAACCAUUUUUUGGUCCUUUAUACAAAAAAAAAAGACGUUUUAAGUGCUUAAAGCAUUUUCUUGACACAUUUGACCUAUAGGCUUACUCAAUUGAUAUUUUUAGUUCAAAACUUAUUCUUUGGCAGUUUCAGCCCUUCCAGACAAGUGAUUUUUGGUUAAAGCCCAAACUUUUGCAACUCUUACAAUUUUGGCCCAAAAUCUAAAAAGUUUACAUUUUUUAUCCUUGUUUGGAAAAUACAUCAUUUUGACUCCUGAAAUAGUUUUGUUUACUCUUUUUACCCUCUGUUUUGACAAGUUUAUCAUUUCACCCCCUUGAAAGUUGAAAUUUUCACAAGUCAUGGGCUAAUGGGCCAGAAAGCCCAAACUAUGACCCAUUAAGCUACAAUUUACACUUCUAGCCCUUAAAAGAGUAUGAUCUCCAUAAAAACAUUUAUUUUUACUGAUUUGACUCUUUUAGUCCUUAAGAAAAACCAUGAAUGGCAAUUUUGACCUAACUUUUGUUUAUUUGACAAUUUAAGCCCAAAAAUUGUCUUAUGUUGCAAUAUGUUGAUUUAAAUCUUAGAGGAUACUUUUCUUGAAUUGUUUAGUGUAAUAGACAUUAGAUCAUGUUUGCUUUCCUUCUUAUGUCAUGGAUCUCAAGAUUUCUAUCCUUUUUGUUUAAAUAUUCAACACAUAAGCACGUAAAUUCACACAUACAUACAUGAAAUCAUACAUAGCAUACACAUACACAUCGAUCUACACAUUUUACUUGUAUUCUCGCCCAUAAAACUUGAAAAAACUGAAAAGAGAGGGGUAUGAACUCACCUUGAGUUUGUGGGUUUGGUUUUGAAGAAGAAUGGAAGAAGUUUGAUGCUAUUCUCAGCCUAGCAAGCUUGUUGGAGGAUCUUUGGCUUAGAUGUGCUUUAAGAUGCAAGAUCACGAUUUGAAUUGAUUAGGAGGAGAUUUUUUAUGAAAUGAAGUAGUUAGAUCAUGGAUUUAAGCAUCAACUUACCUUAGAUGAUGACUCUUAUGGAGAAUCCUACAUGAGAUCUCUUAAAUCUCGAAAGUUUGAUGAAGAAGUGAAGGAGUUGUAGUGUGUUCUUGAGAGUGUUUAAGUGAUGGAAAAUUGUGUGUGUGUGUUUUACUCCCAGCCGAAGAAGAAAAAGAGAGGAGAAGAGAGAGAGAGUGAAGUGAUAGGUACUUGGAAAUAUGAGAUGUUGCAUGGAUAUCCUAUAUGCUAUUAUGAGGUGGAAAGUAGAAAAGUCAACUUUUUUCUCCCAUUUGUGUAGUUGGACUGAGAGAAGGAGAAGAAUGAAAAGAAAUUGGGCCUUCUUGUGCUUAAGUCAAUAUUUUGGUCCAAUUGGAUAAUUUUUGUCCCAAUUGGUCUUUGGGAGGGUUCACGACCCAAAAUAAGUCAAGGAAUGAUUUUUAUGGCCUUUUUAAGUUAAUUAGAUUUGUUAUGGCUCAUUAGUGUAGUUUAUUUGAUUCUAGGCCCAUUAUGGCCCAAAAUGGUAAAAUAAAUGAAGUUGGGACCAAUUAGAGCCCAUUUAAGAAUUCUAAGCCCAAAAUAGUCAAAUUGGAAUCUUAUUCGUCCAUUAGGCCCAAUAAGAAAAUCCUAGUCCAAAAUGGACUUAAACUGGGAUUUGUAGUGUUUCCAAUUCUUUGUUGACUAUUUGAAGUGCUUGUAUACAAUGUUUGAUGGGGAUUUUGUUGUUAUUGAAUAAGAAUCAUAUAUUCUUUUACAUUUUUGGUUACCAAAUCUUAUCAUUGUUGUUGUUACAAAGGCUCAAAAUUCCUAGUUGUGAUAGUAACACACAAGGUGUCAUGAUGUAAAACCUACUGCAUCCCAAGCCUAUGAACAUUUAGAGUUUCCUUUGUAUUUAAGCCACUCUAAUCCAUAUUUGGGGUUCAUUACUAGCCUUAAAUACCCUUUUACCUUAAAAAACCCUAACCCUAAUUCACAUGGUAAUUCUUUUCCUUUUUGGAUCAUUUGUUGGCUUGAAGAGGAAGAGAAGAAAGAGAGGAAGGUGUUCUAUUGGUGGAGCUCGUAAGGAAAUAACAUCAUCAACAUUUCAUAUUGCUUCUUGACCUUUCUAAGUGUCAAAGGCUUAAACUUGAUUUCUUAAAGUGGUUACAUCUAAGUUCUUUUUGUUGGAUUAGUGUCUAAGGUUGUAACUAGAUUUGGUAAAUACUUGACCUGGUUGUGCAUGGUCCUUUUGGGUUGCCUUCACCAAAGCAACUUGAUAGGAUGAUUUAUGGAGAAAGAGAGAGAGAGAAAGAGAGAGGUGAAGUAUGGUUUAUUAAUAUACUAUAAGAAUACAAUAUUAAAAGAGAAAUCAUAAUGUUUAAUUAAUAUUGGACAAAAAUUAAUUAAAAAACUAAUUAUGUGGUUAAAAGAGAUUCAUUAAACUCUAGGGACUAAUAUUGUAAUUAUAAGAUAAUUGGAUUGUGGACUAUGGAUUCCUAAAGGGAAGGGGAUUGGACAAAAUCUAUGGGAAGCCCAUAUGAUUUUCGCCCAAGGGCCUUCUAGAAAAUUUCCAUGGGUUGCUAAAGGCCUAAGUAGGGAAUUAGGGGUUCUCCAAAAAACCUAGCAGCCUACACAAGUAUAAGUAGACCCCUAGGGUUCCCAAAAAUGUGGCUAAGUGUUCUCUAGCAUAUCUUGGACGAUUUUGGUGCUCCUCCUCCCUUUACAAUAUCAUCCUCUUGCUUAUGGUGUUUGUAAGCCAUUAGAGGAGUGACAUUUGUGACUCUAAGCUCCAAGGAAAGAAGAUUCAAGCCAUUCUUGAAGAGGUAAUCAUCUAGAUCUGUUCUCAUAUGUUAAUCUCGAAAUAUGUGUGCUAGAUCUAGGAUUCUUAAGUCUUGGAUGAAUUGCAUCUACAAUAGAGAAACCUAGAUCCAAGACUUAUGGUUUUCCAUGAGCACAUACGAUGUUUCUUUUGUAUAAAACCCAUCAGUGGUAUCAGACCCUUGAUUGGUUUCUAUUGUAUUGAUGCCUUCUAUGUCCAUCUUGCUGAAAAUCAUUUUUUUGCCCUCUACCCAACCAGACUCCACGAGUCAGUGGAUGAACUCGGCGAGUUAGCCUGACUCGGCGAGUCCAGGGGUCAGACAGAUGAUUUUUUGGGAUUUUGAGCUGUUUUGGCUUGUGAUAAUUGUUGGAUUAAUGUCUAAGUCCAUAACUAUAUUUGGUAAGACUUGACCCGACCCGGCAUGGUCCAUUUGGGUUGCAUACCAUCAUGCACUUGAAUGAGAGAAAUAAGACACUUAUGGUUAUUAAUAUAUUAUAAGUUCUAGUAUAUUAAUAAUAAGAAUAAUAAGAUUAUUUAAUUAGUAUUGAUCAAGAAUUAAUCUAGGAUUAAUUAAGUGAUGAAAAGAAGACUAAUUAAAUAUAUGGGUUGAUUGUGUAAAUCAUCCAUACUUGUAUAGUGGGCUAAUGCUCCAUGGAUAAUCAAGUUGGGCUAAAACCCAUAGGAUGGUCCAUGGAUGCUCCAUGGUGUAUUUGUACCAAUGGAUCCAAGGAAAUGGAAAGCCAUGACAAUUAAGAGUUUACCCUAAUUGUGUAACUAUAUAAGCAUCUUAUUAUUGAGGAAAAAUCGGCCACUAGUAGUAUUCAAGAAAGGGCUAGCCGAUUUUGGUGAGUGUAGAAUUCUCUCAAGUCAUUCUAAGUGUUUUGAUGAUUGUGAUUCCAUUUGAGGUGUCACACUUGGGGCACUAAGCACUCAAGCUUCAUGAAGACUUUCUACAUCAAGAGGUAUGUAUUCUAUCUUGUUACAUUAUUGUUUUGUAUGCUAGAUUAGGAUAAUACCUUGGAAGUUCUUAUUUGCAUGUAUAAUAGAGAAAACAUAGAUCCAAGGUAUUUAGGGUUGCAUGUACACUUAGGAAGUGUUAGAAUGCUCAAAACCCAACAGUGGUAUCAGAGCCACGGGUUGUUUUCUGUUAUAUUGAUGCAAAUAUUUUAUUUUCAAAGUUGAAAAAAAAAAAAAAAAAAAACAUGAAGUUCGUCAAAUUUUAAGAUAAUUACUUGUUCUUGUGAAAAACUAAUUAUUUGUAAAAUUUGAAUAAUUUGCUUUAUGAGUUGAAUUAGGUCAAAUUUAAUAAAAGAUAAAAUAAUAUGAUUAUUUUAUUAGUUUUAAAAGUUUGAUCUAAAGAGUUUUAUUUUUUGAAACCUCCAUAAGUUAUGGAUAUGAAAAGGUUUUAAAAAAAAAAUUAUUCAAAGUUUUUUUGGAGUUACAAAAUUUGGUGUUAAUGUUUUAAAGGAUUCCAUAACUUAAGAAUAAGUUAUGGAUCACCAAAAGUUUUUUGUGUUACCUUGUUUUAUGAGUGAAUUUAGAUUAAUGAAUAAAAUUAUGUGAUAGUUGGUUUUAAUCCAAAUUAAUCUAAGAAUUGAUUCUAAAAUGUGUUUUUGUAACUUGUCCUCAAGUUAUAUGAAAAGUCACAUUUAAGAAUCAUAAAACUCAUAAAAAUUGGCAAAGGUUACAAAAAUGAAGAGUCUAGUUCUAAUUAAAUGGUUUUAUGACUCCAUAACUUGUCCUCAAGUUAUGGAGGACCAAGAGUCUCUUCAUUUAAUAAAAUAAAAUAAAAUAAAAAAAAGGGUAACCUUAAUUAAUUCCAUAAGUUAUAAAAUAAAGAAAAGUUAAUUCUUUUAUUAGUUUAAAGUCUUCCAUAACUUGUCCUCAAGUUAUGGAACUUGAAGAGUUUUUGGAUUAAAACUACUUUAAACACAUAAGUUAUGGAAUUAAUUAGUUUUGAAUAGUUUCAAAACUUGCCCUCAAGUUUUGGAAUUUGUAAAGUUUUCACUUAUGAAUACUUUAAUUCCAAGUUAGCCCUUAGAAUUUUAAAAGUUAAAAUUCAACCCUUAUACUUUAUAAUAUUAUAAGUUAAUAAUAUAUAUAUGUAUAAGAGUAAAGUCAGUCUUACCGCUAGUACGCCUCAUUCACGAAGCCGGUCUAUAAGGUGGGUAUAAGGUUGUUGCCUAUAAAAUGGCAACUUAAUGGGUGUCCACUCUCACCCACCGCUUGCUUGACUGGUGGAGGGUCGUUAGCCGAACGGGUUUGACAGGACUAGAAUUCUCCCUUCAUUAAAAGUAUUAAUGAUAAUACUAAGUAACUAAACUCUUAAUAAUACCCAAUCUUAGUUACUUAGGAAAAAUGUGAAUAAGGUGCUAAUCCAUGAAAUUACACUUUACACUUUGUCUAAGUCGUUAGUGGAGCGUGUGUGGUUAACCGGCACACUAACUUGGACUUAACAAGGUAGGUAAAGGGUGACUUAAUAUUUAUCAUAGUAUCGAUGGAGCGUGUGUGGUUAACCGGCACAUCGAUUGAGGGGUAAUUUAUUAAGGGUACCAAGUGAUUUGCAUGGUUACUUCACACCUUGUUUUGUGAUCCUCGGCAUCCCAGUCACAAAACCUGAAGGGCACACUCGAGAUUGAAACAUGCCUUUGAAAAGUUCAAUGAAUCUCAAAGAUCUAGGAGUUUCAAAACCAAUUAAAACCUAAUAAUACAUUUCGUUUAUCUUGGUGGAAAUUGGUGAAUCGUCAUUCACCUACCUUCAAAUAUUUUAUAGCUUGGAUUACGGCAUACCUCUUCUAAGUUAUAAAAUAGUUUGUUGGGUCCUAGCCUUAAUAUUUCAUAUUGGGUGUCAUAUUAAGGACUUUAAAUCAACUAUCUUGAAUAUCUCCCAAAAGAUGUCUGGUUUAGACACCUAUGAUCUUCCCAAAUCUCUUGAAACAAGGUUUCCUAAUGAAGAUGAUGUCCCAUGGAUAUCAUACUUCUUCACCUCUUCAAAUUAUUCUCCCUAACCCACAAGUUCUUGAAAAGUUUAAGGUCACUCAGGCCCUAUUGGCAAGGCAAGGUCUAGGUGUGGUCACAUCUUGGAGAUGUAGUCACAUAUUGACAAGCCGGGAGAGUUGGGUGUCAAAGUCUUGAGAAAGUUGGUGGUUCAACCACUUUCUAAGUCACAUAGUGAGUUCCUUUGGGACACCUAUGAAACAGACUAUGACAAGACCCUUAAUGAUCUUAUCUAUUUGCUAAGAUCAACUUCCUAAAACUUUAUGGACAUUGACAAUGAUGACAUUGGAUAUCCAGUAAAGCAUUCUCUUCCCAAUGGAAAGGGAUCGGCUAUAGUCAACUCGGUUGACCAAAUGGUAAAGAGAAAAGCUAAGUCUGUGAUAGUCCUGUGUACCAUUAUCAAAGGGUCCAUAUGUUUGUAUUGCCAAAGAAAGGGCAUUGGUUGCGAAGCUGCCAAAUUUACCUAAGGAUGUUAAAGUCAAUAAGUUUGACUCUACUUCAGGUAAAAUCCACUAUCUAACUCUGUUAAGUUUCUAUUCUGAGAUUCUUGAUACAUGAUGUGACCGGGUCGCAUGGUGAUGGUUUAAGAAUCAAAGGAAAGUGAAGAAACUUAAAGGAAGAAUAUGCUGAAUCUGAUCGCAUAGAUGGAUUUCUAUCGCAUAGUUUGAAAAAUCGGAUUCUUGAGCUACUUCUUAGGAGUUAUGAGAUAUUGCUUAGGAAUAGAUAACAACAAGUUUUCAUAUGGAUUGUAAGGAUAGUUUUUCCGCAAAGUUUUAAAAUAAAAGGAAAUUUUUGAUUUUAUUUAUUUUAAAAUAUCCUUACAAUGGCAUCUGUGGAAAUUUUUGUUGCUUAUAAGAUUCCAUUAGUAGCAAGAGUGGAAGUAUGAAAUUGAUUCUUUCAUUUGUGGUAAUGUCUAAAUUUACCAAAUAAGGAAAGAUUCUCAUCACCCAAGUUUCAAUUGGACCGGAACUUGGAAUCAUGCAAGUUGUAUAGCAUGAUGAAUGAGAACUUUCAAGUUUUGGAAAAUUAAGACUAAUUACUUGUUCACAUGGAUGUGUGAGUCAAGUAAAGGACUUAGGGAUCGAGUACACAUUCUUGUGCACUGAUUAAGUCCACCACUAAAGAUCGAUAAGAAGAAUCAAAUAAGGCAGAAGGAUAAAAGUUUCUCAAAUCUGAAAAGAUGGGAGAGUACUUUAGUAUCAGUUUUGUGAUCAUCUUAAUGAUUAAGAAACCAUAUCAAAAUUAGUUCUCUAAGGAAAUCUUAGUGCAUUCUUAUGACUAAGAAGAGGAACUUGAAUUGUUGAAAUGGUUAAAUCAAGAAGAUGAGUCAUACUUCGUUCCAAUACAAGUCUUAGAGUCAUACUCCAAGAUUGUCAUUUGAGUGACAUGUCUUAAAGAAGGUUUAAAACACUUGUCAAAUGUAAGAGUAAAAGUUUUCUACUCUUGUACAUUUGAAAUUGGUAAGUUGUGAUGUUUUGGAUAAAACAAAGACCAACUUAGGCCAAUUGGGUAAAGUGUUUUUCUUGAUUAGAAUCCGCACUAUCUCUUGGAUGUUUGACAAGGGAGUCUUAUAUGUCAAGAGGACAGUGGGAGUCUUAAAGGUCUUGAAAGUCUCAAGAAAUAAUCAAGAAUAAAACCUAAAGUUCUUCACUAGCACACGACUUGAGGUUCAUAACCUAUCGUGUUGACAUAUUCUGUGCCCAUUCCAGUUAAAGUUGGUUUUGCAUAUGAGUUCUUAGAGUUCUCAAUUUGUUGCACAACAACUUGGAAGCAAUGGCAGGCCCUUGAGCUGCCAGGUGGCAAGAAGUUAAGAUUGAGUUCAAUCCAUAUGGUUUUGGAUUUGUCAUUAUCUUUGUCUUGUGAUUAUGGUUUGACAAAUUCAUAUGGGUAGGAACUCAUACACCAUAUAAAUCUAAGUGUCAUAAGGUUUCUCUCCGAUUCAUGAAAAUGAUGGUGAGGAAACGCUUUCACUAAGUAGAUUUUACGAAGAUAUCAAUUGUGUUAUUUGCAUUUUCAAAAGUCGUUAGUGGAGCGCGUGUGGUUAACCGGCACACUAACAUGGACUUGUGAGAAAUGGCAAAUGCCUAAGCAAUUGAGACCAUGAUUACGGUAUCCCUUUUCAUGGUUCUUGAAAUUGCUUAGACACACAGGUGAGCUAUCUACGGAAAGGGUGUAUGAAUCUAAAUUUCAGACUGUCCAGCUGAUUUCUGAGUACAUGUCAAAGCUAGUGGGAGCAUAAGUGUUAUGCUAAUAAUCAUCAUGUUAGUGGGAGCAUGAUAAUUAUGAUAAGUAUUGCAAGUUAGCAAUGUUAAUUAUAGAAAACAAAAGUUUCAAUUGGGAAAAAGUUGUUUUGCUAUAAUUAAGGGAGAGGAAAUUAUGCUUCAUCUCAAAUCUAUAAGCUUAGAUCGUGAGGUUUUAAUCAUUUAGUCAAGGAUAUAUAUGAAUUUCAUGUUGGAAUGGCUCAACAUAAGGAAAUUCUGUAUAUGGGUCCAUUAUUUGCGUUCUAAAAUUCGAUUAUGAUUACGGCAUCCCUUUUCAUAAUCUGAAUUAUGAGAACUUGGCAAAUUGAAAUGGAAAUAUUAUAGCAAAAGACUGGUUUAGUCUUUAUGUAAGACAUCAUGAAUCGUGUCCCAUAUGCUUCGGAUAUAGGAUCGAUUACAUGUGCUAUAUUCAUCCGUUCUAAAAUUUUCCAAAUGCCUGGGGCAUUAAGAAGGGAAAAGGUUUAGAACUGGAUAUGACUAAAAGGAUUAAACAAUUGUCGAGGACAAUCUAAGGUUUACCAAAGAUUGGUUACUCAAGGACAAUUGGAAGUAUAGUGAUAAUUCUGGAAGGACCAUAUUGACAUAAUCUGUAAGGAGGCAACUCUUGUUCAGAAGUGAUAGUCAAAAUGGAAUCUGGAAAUGUUUCAAAGUUAGAAUUUUCAAUCUGUGUAAGAUUAAGGAAACUUAAUGCAAGAAGGAUAUUUCCAAGGAGUUGAUCUCCUUUGGAAUACUCUGUAAUGAUUGUUGCCAAGUCUUUGUGACUUUGUGCAUAAUCAUUACAAGAGGAUCAAUGCAUAUAAGUUUAGAAUCUAACAGAUUUCAGUAAAUGGCAUGAAUUUGGAAUUCUUGCAUUUGCAGUAAGGAUUUGGGAGUGUGAAAAGAGAAUCAUUGAAGUUAUGUUCAAUUGAUCUAGUUCACAAAGUAAAGAUCAUAGACAAACAUAGUAUGCAUACUUGGUGUGUGGCAUGACUAGUGUUUAAGAAAACAUAGUGUACAUGCUUGGAGCAUGGGACAACUAUUGUUUUAAAUUCAAGAAUAAAGUUGAUAGCUGAAACAGUAUACAAUGAAUAAUGUGUAAUCAUAUGGUGAUAAAUAAAAGGUGUUUUAUUUAUGUUCAAAGGGUUGAUACCAUAUUGGAUUCAAUUAUUAUUGUGUUUCAUUUUGCAUGUUUUGACUUCCCGAAUAAACUGGGUUAUUCUUCCGGAAUGACUAAGUUAUUCAAACCAUCCACAGUCGGUCAUAUGUUGGAAGUAGAUAUGAAUUAAGACUGUCAUGGGUUGGCUUGUAGAGGUCUAAGGUGUUGGACAAAGGGCUACAACACUCAUGAGUGCUCAUAAGUUCUGAGUAUUGGAUUCAACCCGCGCUCAUUGGAAUCACUUCAUGGAUUUUAUCACGAGUGAUCAUGAGACGAUAAUAUCUUAUAUUCUUCAAACCUAGAGAUAUGAGUUGUUACUAUGAGUUGAUAGUACAUUGAUUGCACGAAAACGCAUUUGGUAACUCGGUGCUAUAAAACGUGCCUUUGUGUAUGAUUCAACAAGUAGUAGAACAAGCCAUAUGAGUCGAAGUUUAUCCAUUCCUUUUACCUUCGGGAUAAAAGCGAUAUCUGUGGGCCCCUCGAUGAUUUGAUGAUGACAAAUGGAAGUGCUCGGCCGGGCCAGGACUGAUUUGAUUUGUUCAAUUAGUCAGUCGUCAUAAAUCGGAAAUCGGGAAACAACAAAUGGACAGAGAGAAUGAUUAUAAUCCAUGUCUCAGUCCAUAUGAUAUCUAGAAUGGAGGAAUAUAUGAUCCCUUAUCUAAUGGACAAGUCAUUGACAAAGGUCAGAGUUCAUCUACAAGGUCAGAGUUCGACAGAAGCUUUUGAGAGCUACGAUUGCCAGUUGGUUCCUGAAGUCAUACGCAAUAAUAGUUUUAGACUUAUCCAAGUGGGAGACUGUUGGAUUAAUGUCUAAGUCCAUAACUAUAAUUGGUAAGACUUGACCCGACCCGGCAUGGUCCAUUUGGGUUGCAUACCAUCAUGCACUUGGAUAGACUAUAAUGAGAGAAAUAAGACACUUAUGGUUAUUAAUAUAUUAUAAGUUCUAGUAUAUUAAUAAUAAGAAUAAUAAGAUUAUUUAAUUAGUAUUGAUCAAGAAUUAAUCUAGGAUUAAUUAAGUGAUCAAAAGAAGACUAAUUAAAUAUAUGGGUUGAUUGUGUAAAUCAUCCAUACUUGUAUAGUGGGCUAAUGCUCCAUGGAUAAUCAAGUUGGGCUAAAACCCAUAGGAUGGUCCAUGGAUGCUCCAUGGUGUAUUUGUACCCAUGGAUCCAAGGAAAUGGAAAGCCAUGACAAUUAAGAGUUUACCCUAAUUGUGUAACUAUAUAAGCAUCUUAUUAUUGAGGAAAAAUCGGCCACUAGUGAUAGUGAAGAAAGGGCUAGCCGAUUUUGAAGAGUGUAGAAUUCUCUCAAGUCAUUCCAAGUGUUUUGAUGAUUGUGAUUCCAUUUGAGGUGUCACACUUGGGGCACUAAGCACUCAAGCUUCAUGAAGACUUUCUACAUCAAGAGGUAUGUAUUCUAUCUUGUUACAUUAUUGUUUUGUAUGCUAGAUUAGGAUAAUACCUUGGAAGUUCUUAUUUGCAUGUAUAAUAGAGAAAACAUAGAUCCAAGGUAUUUAGGGUUGCAUGUACACUUAGGAGUGUUAGAAUGCUCAAAACCCAACAGUAAUUACCAAAAACGUCUUUCUUUAAUAAAAUCCGAAUUUUAUAAUUAUUUGAUAAUUAUCCUUACCAAAAUAGAAGAUAAUUGUCAAAAUUAAGAUAAUUACUUAUUUUAUAAGAUAAAUAUUAAUUAUUUGUAGUUUCGUUUUGAAUUAUCUUGUAAGAAAUUGAAUUAGGUCAAAUUUCGAUAAUUACCAAUUAUUUGAUUAAUUUAAUUAUUUGUAAUUUGAUCUAGAUAAUUUUGAAAAGUUUUCACAACUUGUUCUCAUAUUUUGGAAUUUAACAUUUUGAUGAAAAGUUUAAUUUUUGAAAUAUUAACUUCUAAGACCCUAGUUUUUGAAAUAGAUCAAAUUACACCCUUAUGGUUUUAUUAAAUUAAAUAAGUGUAUAAUUAAAAGAAAGUUAAUAAAUCCAUAAUGAAUGGUUUAUAUUUAAUUAAAUUAAAAGCAUAAUUUAUUUAAUUGGACCACCUAGUAUUUUAAAAGUGUAAAAUACAUCCUUAUACUAUAAAAAAUUAAAAGUCUAUUAUUGUAUAUGUAUGAGUAAAGAGUCAUUUUUACUGUUAGUAGGCCUGAUUCAUGAAGCUGGUCUCUAAGAGGUGUUUAAGGAAAUUGCCUAUAAAAUGGCAAUUGAAUAGAUAUCCACUCUUACCCACCGCACUCUUGACUAGUGCAGGGUCGUUAGCCGGAUGGGUAGGACAGCACACAACUUUCCAUUAUAAGUAUAAUGAAAUAUGAUGUAAGUAAACACUUUUAUAAAUUCACAAAUCUUAGUUACUUUAGGAAAAUGUGCAAUUGGCGUAAAUCCAUGAAAUUGCAAAUUGCACCUGUCACACCCCGAAAACCGAAGGCAGAAACAUUUCCGGGUUUGACUCCACGUUGAGUAUCAAAUCCAAUGUACAUAGUAAGUAAAGUAAAAGAACCAUUACAUUACAUAUAGAAAAGUUUUACAUUUGUUUCAAAAGCAAAGUUAUACAAGUGAUACAUAGUUUAUAUGAACAACACAAAAUGAGUCUUCUGAGAACUCCGUCUUCGUACAAAAGAGAUCGUCGGGUACCUGUCUAAUGCGAACCUGAGAAUACAAGCAGUUUCAAAAUCAGCAUAAAGCUGGUGAGUUCAUAAGAUGUUUGUCUUUCUGAAAAUGUUUGAGUUCCUUUAGCUUUCUGAAAAGUGGUUAUCCAAGAAAAUCCCAUAUUUUUCUUAAAAGUUGGUUACCAAAUCCGAAAAGUAAUGUAAACGAUGUAUAAUGAAAACAUGAUUGUUCUUAUGAAUUGUAAAGUUUAGUUAUCUAACUUGUACACUCUUCUGGUUUCGUACUAUGGCUACUUAGGAAAAUCCUAUAUUUUCCAAUAUGUGUGUGUGUGAACUGUUACUGAUUAUGUGUGCACGAAAUGUUACCGGUUUCGAUUAUGUUCAAUGUUAUCCCCAGGAAAACCCCAUGUUUUCCUAAAUAUGUGUGUGUACUGUUACCGAUUCUGAUUAUGUUCAAUGUUAUCCCUAGGAAAACCCCAUGUUUCCCUGAAUGUGUGUGUGUGUACUGAUAGUCCGAUUAUCCCUGAAUGUACAUUAGUUUUAUUACGUACAUAAAACUAAUAGAUAAGGUAAAAUGUUAAUAAUCUUCAUUGCGAGUCCUUAACCGUACUUAGACUAGAUAUGACUCGGGCCAGGGCCAAUAUCCUUUUUAUGACUUUCGUCACCGUUGAAACUUUCGGUUCGGUUGUAGCUAGCAGCCAGGUGCGGGAUUGUCAGUCCCGUAUAGAUCUAUACACUCAAGUCACGUUCUCCCUCCUGGAGAUUAUGGUUAUAGAGUUAGUCCUCCACUCUCUCAUGCCAAGGAAGUGUUACAGAGGACAUGUCUCCAAUCUCUAAGAUUACUCUUUACUUCUCGUGCCUAAGGAAGUAGUAUCUAUGACUAACUAAGUUCUAACGUGCCUGUUCUUUACACUCGAGACUAGGUGUAUUAUUAAGGACGUUGCAAUGUUCUAUGUUAUCUAAUCGUGACUGUCCUUUACACUCGAGCCUAGGUGUAAUAUUAAAGACAUUACGAUUGAUUUAUGUGUUCUGAUGGUGUCUACCUUUCACACUCGAGCCUAGGUGUAUUGUUAAGGACAUACAGAUGUUUUAUGUUUUCUAAUGGUGUAUGUCUUUUACACUCGAACCUAAUUGUUUUAUUACAGACAUUACAAUGUUUUAUAAUCUCUGUCAAUAUAAGUGUGAAAAAUCAAUUGUAAAGAAUACAACAUAACAGUAUAUAGUAAGAAGUGAAAAUCGGUUUGAACAAACAACUCUGCAAGUUAAAACAGUUCGUUAGUAGGUUUUCAAUUCUUAAAAAAAAAGUACAAUUAUGAAACCAUUUAACUGAAAUCAUGAGUUUAAGUACAAGAUAUUCUUGUACUCUUUCUUGUAUUCCCCCCUGAAAACAUUAAAAAACCAUUGAAAAAGGGUCGGGGUAUGAACUGACCGGACGCGGAAAUGUGUCGAAUGGAAUGCUAUACGUCAAAUCGAGGCUUGAUAAAACGCAAGGUUCUUAUGUAAUAUGAAAUGGCAUACAAAUAUAUCUAAUUAGAUUUACAAACUCUAAUUAGAUAUGAAGUUACACUACAACGAACGAAAACACCUCAAAACGGGAGUUUGGAGUGACCCGGGUGACAUCUAUGGACGUGUAUUGAUGCGAGGGACUUGGGAUUUGAGUUUACUCAUCAAGAGUAAACUCCCUAAUGAAUUUUGUGGCCGUAUACCCCUAUAUACAUGAGUUCACGGCCGUGAACUCAUGUUUGGGUGGUUUUGAGUGCUAAAAUGGCUUAAAUGGACAAGGGAAUGUUGGAAUGGAUUCUUCUAAUGCCAUGGAUUUAAUUGAAUCAACAUAUACAUCACAUUUGAGAGUUCACAGCUAUAAACUUAGAGUUUAUGGCCGUAAACUCUCCCAUGCUCAAACCAUAUUUAAUUUGUGAUGCUUAGGACAAUCGAAUGUGAUUCUAGUUAAUUUUCCCAGGCUUAGGGUGAAUUUAGGGCAUCAAAACAACAUAUACUUUUGAGUUUAUGGUCCUGGAGCAUGUUCUAUGGCCGUAAACUCUCAUAUGUGAGGUUUUGUUAUGUUUAAGGUCUCCAAACUAUUUUUAGAUGGUCCUAGGAUUUACCACAAGGCUAUUGGUUAAGUUUUAUGGCUUUCUAACAUGUUGGAAAUGAGUUUACUCUCAUGUUUGAGGGGUUUACGGCCCAAGCACAUGCCUUGGCUGUAAACUCAUGCAACUCCCUCAAAAUCUAUGUCUAAAGUGUUCUAAGUCCAUUUCAUGAAGUCAUAUAACCUUACCUAAGGUCUGGUUGUGGUUUGGAAUGGUUUAAGGUCUUAAAAACCCUCUAAAUAUGUGUUUACGGCCUAAGCAGCUUCUUGGGCCGUAAAAUCAUAUACAAGGUCCUAAUUCAUGCUUUAAUCUCGAAUUUGAAGGUCAAAUAUGAUAGACAAUGAGUUAAGGAAUGUACCUUGGUGAUUUGAAGCCUAGUUUUGAUGAUUUUGGACCUUGAAUAUAGUUUGAGGAGAGAGGUUGGAGAGAUGGUUGUCAAAUGAAGCAAAAGCUUCAAAUGAAAGCUUGGUUCAAUUUAAAUAGUGUCCAAGUUUGGGACACGGUGGAAUUCUACCCGAUACCGUCGUUANGGGGCUUUUGCGCACCCGGCCAAAUUGCCGUAACCCGAUAUGGUUGAUUCUAGAAAUGUUUCGAUCGCUAAUACUGGGCAUUAGAAUGAUUUCUAAAGGUAUUAGGACACUCAUUAAGUCAUAAAAUAAAAUACACAUUAAUGACUUAAUUAAAUGACGGAAUCGAAAACGAAAUUUGGAAACGGCGAUCGGACUAUCGAAAUGAGUUAUGAAAAGGGGUACAAGCAACGAAACAAAAUUUCGGGUUGUUACAUUAUCCCCCCGUUAGAUGGAAUUUCGUCCCGAAAUUCAAAGAUUCGAACACAAAUCACGAACUGAAAAGAGAUAUUAGGAUGAAUCUACUGGUUUGGGUCCUCAUGCUCCUAAGUGGAAUCGGGUCUCCGCUUGACAUUUCAGCGAACCCUCACUGUCAGGAUGUGGCUUUGUUACGCAAGACUAACCUCUCGAUCCAUGAUCUCAAUUGAUUCAUCCAUGAAGGUUCGUACUUCCGUUGGUUUCGAUCUCAUCAAGGGAUUUCUAGGGUUUCGUCAGGUCGGCAAUACUUUCUAUCAAAGAUGUGGAAUGCCAGAUGAUUGCUGCUGAGUUCUAAAGAUAGCUCGGAGAGGGCUAUGGAAAUCGAUUCCUAACAAGGAUUUCGAAGGGUCUAAUGUUCCAUGAGUUAAGUUGUCCGCACUUUCCAAAGCGUACUAUGUCUUUCCAGAGUAAAACUUCCAACAAGUGGGUAGAUAUUCAUGUGGCAGAGUAGCUAAGGGUCCGAUGGUUCUAAAGGAAACUUCUACGUGAGUCUACGAUCAUAGCCAACGGGACCCAAGAAUUGACGGGUUUCUAUGGGUAUCCCCAAUGCCGACUAAUUCUUUAUUGCCUUAGCUUUUGGAGAGGUUCACAUAUAUGACUGCUUUGCUUGUCUACUUGACCAGGAAAAUGGUUUGAUCGAAGGGUACCACUACUACUUCGUAGCGAUCAUAUCAAGCCCUGGUUGCUGUCUUGGACACAUCGUACUCACUAAGGUUUUUGGACUACGAGGUAAUUCCAGGGAUUUGGUCGAUGCGAAACUGGACUACGCAUUCAGAAAGAAUUCUCAAGAAUCCUUUGGAAACAGUAUCGGGGAAAGAAUUGCAGACUUCUCGUUUCUCGAUGAUCACAUGACCAAGGAAUACAUGGAAAAAAAAUCUUUUUAAGCUUUGAUGCAUGAAGAUCAUGAGAGUCGGGUCGGAGGCAGGUUAAGACGUAUGGCUUUCUCGAAACCAGGAAUAACAGCAUGAAUGAGGCUCGGUCAUUACAUGCCAAAGAUGGCAUCAAAGCAUUUCAUGAAAAGGUUUCCAUUAGAUCGAACAGAAAAGAAUAAUUGUUCGGAUUAAGGUUACAAUCUACGGAUAUGACGUUAGCGUCCUCAUUCUCACUUGAUAACCAUCUCGACAGUAUACAUUUUCGAUUACUCACAAACGAAAGGGUUUAAAAGAUCUUCAAAUGGAUGGUUAGCGAAUUUCUUUCGGCAAUAAAAUCGAAAAGAAUUACAGGCAUAAGAUUCAACGAGGGGAAAUAUACCUGUGGCAACGGUGGGAUCGGUAGCUGUCUCCUCUUGUCCUAUCGCUAGAACUCUUCCGGCGUUGCCAGGUGUUACUGCCUUGGGGCAGUUUCGCUUGAGAUUUCAACUUCUCCACAACCAUAGCAGGCCUGACCAAUGCCCGCUCCGGAAGUUUGACUAGUUGAUUGAGUUGGUGUCUUACAGUUUUUUUCCAUGUGACCCUUUAUGCCACAUUUGUUGCAAAAUACCUCUAUACAUGGGUUGGAAGGAAGGUGAUGAUAGUUGCAAUUUUCACAACUAGGAAGGGUUCCAGCAUACCUACUGGCAGGUUUUCGAGUUGAGGAUCCAACAACAGAGACAGCUGCAGUGGAAGUGGCAGCGUGAACUGCCACCGUUUGUUGUCUCUUCGAAGACUCAUGCGAUGUUUGACUUUUCUCCUUCUUCCCAACUUUUCUUUUCUCAAACUUCUCACUAUCGGCUCAGGAGUGGUAGUUGCCUCCUCAAGGUCUUCACUAUGAUGGAUUAGGAUUUGUGCUAAGCGUUUGGUGCUGUCGUAUGUAUCCGGCCUUGCAGCUAUGACGUUUCCCUUUGUUGGCUGCGUCAGCCCCCAGAUGAAUCUCUUUAUCUUCUUACUCUCUGGGGUAACCAUUCCCGGGCAGAAUAAUGCCAAGUCGUCAAACCUGGAAGUGUAAGCGGUGAUAUCAGAACCUUUCAUCUUCAGGUUCCAAAGUUUGUGUUCGAACUUCUACAUUUCGCCCCGAGGGCAGUACUCAGCCAGCAGAAGUUUCUUCAUAGCUUCCCAACCCAUGGCGUUGGCUAGAUUUAAGGUUAGGGAUUUGACUCAGCCGUUCCACCAAGUCAGGGCUUUGUCGAUAAAGGUGCAGGCGGCAAACUUCACUUUGUCAGAUUCUGAGUAGGCGCAAAUUUCAAACAUGGAUUCGAUCUUCUCGAACCAUCGGGUAAGGGAAAUGACACCUCCAGUUCCAUCAAAGGACGUGGGUUCUGCGUUCAUGAUAUCCUUAUAGGAACCCUGUUUUCGGUGCCCCUGACUGCUUUCUUGGUUUUGGGUUUGGGUACCACCUCCAGAACCAUCGGAACCGCCAGAGCUACGUUGAGACAUGGCAGCUGCCACUGCGACUGUAAUAGCUACCUGGAAUACUACAGGAUCAAUUUGGGGAGGAGGUGGUGGCGGAGGUUGGUUGGUCAUGGAGUUGGGUCACUUUCUUGGAGGCAUCUUGAUCUAAUAAGAUCAAGAAAGAGAGGAUGAUAAGUCCUCUGAAUUUAAUCAAGAGAUAUAACGGAUAUAUGCUGAAUAAGCGAUAAAGCUGGAAAGAGUUAUCUAAGCAGGAAAAUUAUCACUAAGGUAAUGAUCAAAGAACAAUGCGUGAACAAGGAUUUCUACCAAGGAUUGGCUCGAGAAAUACUCCCAUAGUAUUUCAUGAUUCGUUACGAAGCUGGUUCGAUGUUUGUGGUAUUAGGGUAAGUUUUAGGCAUGCCGCACACUACAGUCACUCCCAAGCACAUGUUGGCUGUGUCCUGAAUGAAUAUAGUUGGACAGGCUAUAUUGAACCUAGACACGACUACAUAACUGCCCAGGUUUAACGCAGUACACAACAACCAUUUACAUAUGUUUUGUUCUACUUGUAGUUACGGAUCUCGACGGUUCGGUAUACUUAUAUACUUUUGAAAAUACUUAGAUUCUGAAGGAUACUUUUAGUUCAGAGCACUUAGGCCCCUUAAUGUUUAUAGUUUUAUACCAUGUAAGGUUUGGUAUACUUUAUUCACUAUAAGCAAGGGCUCUGAUAACAAUCUGUCACACCCCGAAAACCGAAGGCGGAAACAUUUCCGGGGUUGACUCUACGUUGAGUAUCAAAUCCAAUGUACAUAGUAAGUAAAGGAAAACAACCAUUACAUUACAUAUAGAAAAGUUUUACAUUUGUUUCAAAAGCAAACUUAUACAAGUGAUACAUAGUUUAUAUGAACAACACAAAACGAGUCUUCUGAUAACUCCGUCUUCGUACAAAAGAGAUCGUCGGGUACCUGUCUAAUGCGAACCUGAGAAUACAAGCGGUUUCAAAAUCAGCAUAAAGCUGGUGAGUUCAUAAUAUGUUUGUUUUUCUGAAAAUGUUCGAGUUCCUUUAGCUUUCUGAAAAGUGGUUAUCCAAGAAAAUCCCAUAUUUUCUUAAAAGUUGGUUACCAAAUCCGAAAAGUAAUAUAAACGAUGUAUAAUGAAAACAUGAUUGUUCUUAUGAAUUGUAAAGUUUAGUUAUCUAACUUGUACACUCUUCUGGUUUCGUACUACGGUUACUCAGGAAAAUCCUAUAUUUUCCAAUAUGUGUGUGUGUGAACUGUUAUUGAUUCUGUGUGCACGAAAUGUUACCGGUUUCGAUUAUGUUCAAUGUUAUCCCCAGGAAAACCCCAUUUUUUCCUAAAUAUGUGUGUGUACUGUUACCGAUUCUGAUUAUGUUCAAUGUUAUCCCUAGGAAAGCCCCAUGUUUCCCUGAAUGUGUGUGUGUGUACUGAUAGUCCGAUUAUCCCUGAAUGUACAUUAGUUUUAUUACGUACAUAAAACUAAUAGAUAAGGAAAAAUGUUAAUAAUCUUGAUUGCGAGUCCUUAACCAUACUUAGACUAGAUAUGACUCGGGCCAGGGCUAAUAUCCUUUUUAUGACUUUCGUCACCCUUGAACCUUUUGGUUCGGCUGUAACUAGCAGCCAGGUGUGGGAUUGUCAGUCCCGUAUAGAUCUAUACACUCAAGUCACGUUCUCCCUCCUGGAGAUUCUGGUUAUAGGGUUAGUCCUCCACUCUCUCGUGCCAAGGAAGUGUUAUAGAGGAUGUGUCUCCAAUCUUUAAGAUUACUCUUUACUUCUCGUGCCUAAGGAAGUAGUAUCUAUGACUAACUAAGUUCUAAUUUGUCUGUUCUUUACACUCGAGACUCGGUGUAUUGUUAAGGACGUUGCAAUGUUCUAUGUUAUCUAAUGGUGACUGUCCUUUACACUCGAGCCUAGGUGUAAUAUUAAGGACAUUACGGUUGAUUUAUGUGUUCUGAUGGUGUCUGCCUUUUACACUCGAGCCUAGGUGUAUUGUUAAGGACAUACAAAUGUCUUAUGUUUUCUAAUGGUGUAUGUCUUUUACACUCGAACCUCAGUGUUUUAUUACAGACAUUACAAUGUUUUAUAAUCUCUAUCAAUAUAAGUGUGAACAAUCAAUUGUAAAAUAUACAACAUAACAGUAUAUAGUAAGAAUUGAAAAUCGGUUCGAAAAAACAACUCUGCAAGUUAAAACAGUUCGUUAGUAGGUUUUCAAUUCUUAAAAAAAAAGUACAAUUUUGAAACCAUUUAACUGAAAUCAUGAGUUUAAGUACAAGAUAUUCUUGUACUCUUGCUUUUAUUCCCCCAUGAAAACAUUAAAAAAAACCAUUGAAAAAGGGUAGGGGUAUGAACUCACCGGAUGCGGAAAUGUGUCGAAUGGAAUGCUAUACGUCGAAUCGAGGCUUGAUAACACGUGAGGUUCCUACGUAAUAUGAAAUGGCAUACAAAUAUAUCUAAUUAGAUUCACAAACUCUAAUUAGAUAUGAAGUUACACUCCAACGAACGAAAACACCUCAAAACGGGUGUUUGGAGUGACCUGGGUGACAUCUACGGACGUGUAUUGAUGCGAGGGACUGGGGAUUUGAGUUUACUCUUCAAGAGUAAACUCCUUAAUGAAGUUUGCGGCAAUAUACCCCUAUAUACAUGAGUUCACGGCCAUGAACUCAUGUUUGGGUGGUUUUGAGUGCUAAAAUGGCUUAAAUGGACAAGAGAAUUUUGGAAUGGAUUUUUCUAAUGCCAAGGAUUUAAUUGAAUCAACAUAUAAAUCACAUUUGAGAGUUCACGGCUGUAAACUUGGAGUUUACGGCCGUAAACUAUCCCAUGCUCAAACCAUAUUUAAUUUGUGAUGCUUUGGACAAUCACAUGUGAUUCUAGUUAAUUUUCCAAGGCUUCGGGUGAAUUUAGGGCAUCAAACAAUAUAUAAUUAGGAGUUUAUGGCCCUGGAGCAUGUUCGAUGGCCGUAGACUCUCAUAUGUGAGGUUUUGUUAUGUUUAAGGUCUCAAAACUAUUUUUAGAUGGUUCUAGGAUUUACCACAAGGCUAUUGGUUAAGUUAUAUGGCUUUCUAACAUGUUGAAAAUGAGUUUACUCUAAUGUUUGAGGGGUUUACGGCCAAGCACAUGCCUUGGCUGUAAACUCAUGCAAAUCCCUCAAAAUCCAUGUCUAAAGUGUUCUAAGUCCAUUUCAUGAAGUCAUAUAACCUUACCUAAGGUCUAGUUGUGGUUUUGAAGGGUUUAAGGGCUUAAAAACCCUCUAAAUAUGUGUUUACGGCCUAAGCACCUCCGUGGGCCAUAAACUCAUAUACAAGGUCCUAAUUCAUGCUUUAAUCUCGAAUUUGAAGGUCAAAUAUGAUACAUAAUGAGUUAAGGAAUGUACCUUGGUGAUUUGAAGCCUAAUUUUGAUGAUUUUGGACCUUGAAUCUAGUUUAAGGAGAGAGGUUGGAGAGAUGGUUGUCAAAUGAAGCAAAAGCUUCAAAUGAAAGCUUGGUUCACUUUAAAUAGUGUCCAAGUUCGGGACACGGUGGAAUUCUACCCGAUACCGGCGUUAGACGGGGCUUUUGGUCGCACCCGGCCAAAUUGCCGUAACCCGAUAUGGUUGAUUCUAGAAAUGUUUCGAUCGCUAAUACUGGGCAUUAGAAUGAGUUCUAAAGGUAUUAGGACACUCAUUAAGUCAUAAAAUAAAAUACACAUUAAUGACUUAAUUAAAUGACAGAAUCGAAAACGAAAUUUGGAAACGGCGAUCAGACUAUCAAAAUGAGUUACGAAAAGGGGUACAAGCAAUGAAACGAAAUUUCGGGUUGUUACAGCACCCUUAUUAGUCGAUUAGUGGAGCAUGUGUGGUUAACCGGCACACUAAUAUGGGACCAAUGAAGGAUGGCAAAGGGUAGCUUGAUGUUUAUCAUAGAUUAAUGGAGUGUGUGUGGUUAACCUACAUAUUGAUUAGGUGAUCUGUAGCAUCGAGAGUACCGAACUAAUUUACAUGGUUAUCCGCAACUUGUUUGUGAUCCUCGGCAUCCCAGUCACAAAUGAAGGGCACAAUCAAAAUUUAACAUGCCAUUAAAAAGUUGAAUGAAUCUCAAAACAUCUAGAAGUUUCAAUCCAUUUAAAAUUUAAAUUUCUUUUUCGUUUUUCAUGGUGCAAAUUGGUAAAUUAUCAUUUACCUACCUUCAAAUAUUCUGCAAUUUGGAUUACGACAUCCCCCUUACAAGUUUUAGAAUAUUGUGGUGGGUCCUAGCCUUAAUAUCUCAUUUGGGUGUUUUAUUAAGGACCCAAUCAACUAACUUGAAUUUUCUCCUGUUUUUUAGAUUUCUGAUUCUAACUAUGGUCUUUCCAAAUCCCAUGAAGCAAGAUUUCCACAUGAAGAUGAUAUUCCACGAUUUAAUAAAGGAAAAAGAGAUCAUUCUUCACUUCCUCCACCUCCUCCUAUUGUUCUCCUUAACCCACAAGUUCGAAAUCUUGCAAGUUCAAUCUCACUCAAGCUGUUUUGGUAAGUAAAUAUUAAGAAGGAAAUUCAGUAUGUGCACACAUCUUAGAGAUGAAGUCACACAUUGACAGGUUAAGAAUGUUAAGAGUCGUUAUCUGUGAGAAGGUGGAUUCUAACUGAGCUCUUCAAUCACUAAUUGACUCAUAUAGUGAGUUCGUAAGAGAGUAUUAUUUGAUAGACCACGACGUGACUCUCAUCGAUCACACCUAUUUGCUUGUUGUUGCUGAAUAAACAAUUAUUUGGCGCACUGGAGAAGCAAAGUUGAUUGGUGGAUCUGCCUUCCAAACCUCCAUGGACAUAGGCAAUCACAAUGAAAGGCAUUCCAUGGUCGAAAAGUUUGACGAUAAGAGAAAGACAAAGUAUGAGGUAGUUCCGUGUGUUGUUCCAAAAGAGUCAAUUUGCUUUUCUUGCCAUGGGAAUGGGCAUUGGAGACGAAGCUACCUUGUCUACCUAAGAGAUCUAAGAGAUGGGAGAGUCAAGACGUACGGUUGUACUUCAUGUAAAAUCCAUUAAAUAACUCUAUAAGUACCUAUUUUUGAUUCUUAAUACAUGACGUGAUAAGAUUGCAUUUGGUGUUUUUGUAGGAUCAAAGAAAAUAGAGGGAGCUUAAACGAAGAAGUGAGGCGAGUCCUGAUUGUGAAGAAAUGGAUUUCGAUCGCAUGAUUCGAUGAUCAGAAUCUUGGAGCUUCUACUUUUAGAGUUAUAAAAGUUUGCUUAGAAAUAUGUAAUAGCGUAGUUUUCAUUUGAUUUGCAUUGUAAGGACAAUUUUUUUCACCUUUUAUAAAUAAAAUUAUUUUUUUGUUUUGUCUUAUUUAUAUAUUUCCUUUCAAUGGCAUGAAUGAAAAUUGACGUUUGUGUAUUUCUAGUUUUAGUAAUGUUGAAAUUGAUGUGAUUCUUAGUUAUGUUAUUUGUAGCAAUGUCGAGAAUUUACCAUGUAGGAAAAGAUUCUUGUCACCCGAGUUUCAAUUAGACAGAAACUUUGAAUCAUACGACCUGUAUUGUAUGAUGAAUGAGAACCUUCAUAUUUUGAAAAUUAAGACUAAUUCCUUGACAAAGUGUCAAGUCAAGGACUAGGAUAACUAAUACGUAAUGAUGUGCAUUUGUCAAGUCCACCAUAAAGAACAAUAAAAUUAUUCUUCAUGAUUUACUAAUAGUCUAGUAAAUGUUGUUAUGCUUACAAGAUUAAUUUUGAUUUUGAAUAAUUGAAAAGUUUCAAUGUGUGGCAGAAUGAAUAAGAUAAAUCAAUUAGGUAGAAAGAUAAAAAAUUUCUCCAAUUUAAGAAGAAGGGAGAGUACUUUUCUAUCAUGUUCUAUGAUCAUCUUGUUGAUUAUGAAACCAUAUCAAAAUUUAUUCUCUGCGGACAUCUUAGUGCACUAAUAUGGCUUAGAAGAGGAAUUGGAAACUUUUGAAAUGGUUAAAUCAAAAGGAUGAGUCAUACUUCGUUCCAAAAUCAAGUCUUAGAGUCAUAGUCCUAGAUUGUGAAUUUAGUGACAAAUCUUAAGAAGUUCUAACACAAUCAUCAAAUGUUUUUUCUUACACUUGCACGUUUGAAAUUGGUUAAUUGUGAUCUUGUUGUAACGUCAUGAAAAUUCCAACAAAAUUUUUCAUUUUUAACUAUCAUAAAAACACAUGCCACAUUUAUCAAAACUCCAAAUACUAAACAAAAAAGUUUUCAAAACAUUUAUUCACAAUCCAGGAUCCAUAAACAUAACUCUAGCUCAGAUGUGUGUGUAUAAUCAAGCUGGUGUCUUCCCGCGAUCCUCGGAAGUACCUGAAAUACAUAACACAUAACAUGGUAAGCAUGAAUGCUUAGUGAGUUCCCCAAAAUACCAUGUACAAAUAAUUUGCCACUCAAGGCUAUAGCUCUUGUCAAUGUGUCUCAGUAGGACCCUCCAGUUCCAUAGCUCGUUGGACCCUUUGGUCCGGUCUGAUUGAGAACCCUCCGGCCUCAUAGUUCGUUGGACCCUCUGAUCUGGUCUAAGCAACAUAUAAUAUAACAUACAAUACAUAUCACACAAACAUGCAUAACUCAAGCAAGCACAUAAGACCCUCUGAUUACCCAAAGUUACCACUCUAGGUAAAGUAUAGUGAGCAAACUCACCCUGUAGCAAGUAGAAAUAGACACGCACCAGGUAAUCCAAAACUAGCCUUCACCUAACACAUUAGACAAGCAUCUCAAUUAAUAUCUCUCUUUGACUCCUUUAAACCUAAAGUCCUUCAUUCCCUUUAAAUCUCUCAUGAGGGGUAAAAGACCAUUUUACCCCUCCAUGGUCUCAAAUGCUCCUCAUUCACUCACUCACGAAAUCAACAAAAGUCAAUAUGAGUCAACAAUUCAAGUUGACCUGACUCGCUGAGUGCACCCAUGUGACUCACCUAGUCCACUUGUAUCCUCAGGGAUCUUCAUAGGUUUCACUUAGCUCGUCAAUUUAACCCCCAACAUGACAAGUUAUCACUGGGUCAAGGGUAUUGGGUCGGACCCGCUUUGACUCUUUGAGUAAUCCCAUAGACUCAGUGAGUUGACUCAAUCGGAUUCCUCAUUUGGUCACCUGAGGUCAGAUUAGUAACUCUAGCUCAUAGAUGUAGCCUCUAAAUAACCAAAUUAAAUGUCACGUAAAGGUCUGAUCUUGACGUCCAUGCAUGGUGUAUACUGCUCUAUAUGCCAUUAAAACUCCAUUAAUGCUUCCUAGCUACAAAACCACACGGUUUCUCAACCAUGGCUUCAUGUUUUUGGACUCUUUGGAGCUUACAAGGUCCAGAUCUAUAUUACAAACUCACAAAGGGGUUUGAUGCACCCAAAACCGCAUCAAGUUGUGAUACAAGCCCUAAAUCUCACAAUCAAGUGAUCUAAUCAAUCAACAAGGAAGACAAGAGCAUUUUGUUGGAAUAGUGUCUAAGCCCGUAACUAUAUUUGGUGUGUACUUGACCUGGUUGUGCAUGGUCCUUUUGGGUUGCCUUCUCCAAAGAAACUUGACAAGGUAACUUAAUGAGAAAGAUAAAAUUAUGGUUUAUUAAUAUAUUAUAAGAAUAAUACAUUAAAGGAGAAAUCAUAUUUAUUUAAUUAGUAUUGAUCAUAAAUUAAUUAGGAAUUAAUUUGGUGACCAAAAGAGAUUAAUUGAAUAAAGGGGUAUAAACUGUCAAAUGUAUGAUACUUGGGUUUUAGGUUAAGGAAACCUAAUGGGCUUAAGGGGGAAAGAAAUUAUGAUGGGUAUCCAUCAUAUUUUUGUCCAAGGCCUUAUUCAAGAAGGUUCCUUGGGCUGCUUGGUGGCUAAGCUAUCCAUUAGGGUUUAGACUGAAACCAUAGUAGCCUGUAAGUAUAAAUAUGACCCCUAGGGCAUUGAAUUCGGCUACCACUUGAUUCUAAGAGAAACCUAGGCUGAUUUCUAGCUUACCUCUCCCUCUCUCAUAUUGCAUUCUUGCUUGUGGGGUUUGUGAAGCAUUAGAGGAGUUGCAUUUGUGACCCUAAGCUCAAGAGAAUAAGAGAAGAAGAUCUAAGCCAAUAUUUGAAGAGGUAAACAUCUAGAUCUGAUUCUAUAUGUUGCUUUUGUUAUUUGUAUGCAAGAUUAGGGUUUGUAAGUCUUGGAAUCAAAGCAUGUUCAAUAGAGAAACCUAGAUCCAAGCAUUAGGGUUUGUAUGAGCACAUAGGAAUGUUUCUUAUGCAUAAAACCCAUCAGUGGUAUCAGAGCUUUGAUUGGUUUCAAUUGUAUGUGAUGCUUAACUAUUUUGUUUGCUAAAAAUCGAGUUUUUUGCCUCUGCCCGACACAAAUCGGCAAGUCAGUAUCUGGACUCAGCGAGUUGGCCCUACUCUGCGAGUCCAGGUCUGACUCGGUGAGUUUGUGCGCCAUACAUAGGGUAUUUCGGGAUUUAGCUGCUGUUUUUACUUGGACUUGAUGCUUAAAUUGUUUUAUGAAGUUAAAAUCCGAAUUUUAUCUUAAUUAAUUGAUUAUCCUUGCCAAAACAAUAGAUAAUUUCAAAUCUUUUAAAUAUUGGUUGUUUAUGUCAUAAAUAUGGAUUAUUUAAAGUUAUUUGGUAAUUAACUAAUGACUAAAAUAAGAUUAGGUCAAAUAUAGAUAAUUAUGUAAUUAAUUGUUUAAUUUGAAUUAUUUGUUAUUUGAUCCCUUAUGUUUUGAAAAGUUCAAGACUUGCCCUCAAGUUUUGAAAUUUGAACUUGUGAUUAAAAGUUUAAUUUUGAAUAAUUUAAAUUUCAAACCCUUAGAAUUUUACAUGUUUAAAAUUCAACCCUAUACUAUUAUAUAUUAUUACAAGCUUAAUUAAUAUAUAUAUAUAUAUAUAUAUAUAUGUGUGUGUGUGUGUGUGUGUGUAUAACUUAAAAUGUUAGUCGUACCGUUAGUAGGCCUCAUUCACGAAGCCGAUCUAUAAGGGGGGUAUAAGGUUAUGGUCUAUAAAAUGGCCGUUUAAUGGGUGCCCANACCUACCACUUGCUUGACUGGUGGCGGGUCGUUAGCCGAACGAGUAGGAUAGGGCAACCCUCUUCCCAUUAAAAGUAUAAUGUAAGAUACAAAGUAAUUACAUGUUUUUCCAAAUUCCCAAUCUUAGUUACUUUAGGAUAAAAUGUGAAAAUGAUGCUAAUCCAUGGAAUUACACUUCGUACCCUUUUCAAACGUUGAUGGAGCUUGUGUGGUUAACCGGCACAUCAAAUUGGGGAUGACAUUGGUAGCGAAGGGUGACUCGAUGUUUGUCAUAGAUCAAUAGAGCGUGUGUGGUUUGCGAUCAUGUUGAUUCGCAUGGUUAUUCACAAUUUGUUUGCGAUCCUCAUUAUCCCAGUCGCAAAUUUGAAAUGCAUAUCGAUAUUUAAACAUGCCAUUGAAAAGUUCAAUGAAUCUCAAAGAUCUAGGAGUUUUCAGUACAUUUAAAACCUAAAUUGCCUUUUCGUUUUUCAUGGUGAAGAUUAGUGAAUCGUCAUUCACUUACCUUCAACUUAUUUACUUUUAGAGUACGACAUCCCUUUCUAAGUUGUAAAUAAUGUUGUUGGAUCCUAGCCCUAAUUUCUCAUUUGGGUGUUUAAUUAGGGCUUCAUUUCUAAUCAAACUUUGUUCCUUUCCUUUUUCAGAUGUCUGCAAACAACAACAACAACAACAACAACAACGAUUAUGGGUCAUUCUCGUUGAUGAACUUGUGUCAUAAAGUGACAUUUGAUGGUUCAAACUUCAACGAGUGGAUGAGGUAUAUUCGCAUGAUCACAUGCUACGAGGACAAAGAAUAUGUCCUCGAUGAAAAGCUUGAGAAGAUCGUCCCAGAUGUUGCUACUCCUAAAGAGUUGGCCGCCUUCGAGGCCCAUGAGCGUGAUGCUAUGAAUGUUCACUGCAUCAUGUUGGCCACCAUGAACCUCGAACUCCAAAAGUCCUAUGAGGACAUGUAUCCGUAUGAAAUGCAUCAGGAUUUGUUGGACAGGUAUCACCAGAGCACAAGGCAAGAGCGGUAUGAGAUCAUUACUAACAUGAUCACCGCUAAAAUGGGGAGUGGAGAAUCCCUAACCUCUCAUUUACAGAAAAUGCAGAGGUAUGUUGAUCGUCUUCUCAAACUUAAUGUUAAGUUUGAUUAGGAUCUGGCUAUCAACAUAAUCCUUCAUUCCUUGCCCUCCUGCUACAACUAGUUUAGGAUGACCUACCACAUGAACAAAGAGGGGGUCUCCUUGUGCAAGCUCCAGGUCAGGUUAAGUAUUACCAAUUAUAGUUAUGGACUUAGACAUUAAUCCAACAGGUAUAUCUUUUGAGGAGAAUAUAUCUGGAGAUGAUGAUGUCUCAGUGUCUGAUUUGAGAAAGGAGAUUGGUGUAUUGAGCCAGAAGAAUAUCGAUCUUGAUAUCAAAGUUUCAGAUCUUCAAACCAAGAACGUCAAGCUCAAUACUCAUGUUGAUGAUCUUAUUAAAGAAAAUGCUCAGAAAACAAAGCAGAUCACCGAUCUUCAGACGCAUUUUGGUUUGUUGACCGCUAGUUAUUAUGAGUUGAAAAAGAAGCUGGAAGAUGAAUUUGGUGACAAAUUCAAAUCAUCUGUCAUUGAGCCUAGAAUUUAUCUUUCCAAUCAAGACACUCCUAUUAUUCCAACUCCUACUAGAACAAACAGAAUUGUCGAUCAUUUUGACAAUGAACCAGCACAGGCUCCAAAUGCCGUGGCGAAAAGCGUGCUAAACUAGACAAGUCUGUUGAGAAGGGUCAACUUUUGUUCAAGAAGAACUCGUAUCAAAAUGCUCCCGUGAAUCAACCAAGGAUCAACCUUACGGACCAUGGAGAAAAUCUCUUUAGAAACACUUAUGGUGAUAGGUAUGGGAUCAUCUCAUGGGGCUUCCAUGACCCUCUGAAAAUGUGGAUCGUAAGAAGGAAGAGUGGAAAUUCAAAAUUGUAUAAAGAUGCUCACGAUUUCAUUUCAUGGACCAGGGUUGAUCUUACGGAAUUGUCUAAAGGCCCGUUUUCAAAUCCAACAAAUUAACCCAAGGCGACACAAUUAAGGUUGUUUUUAGAAGGUCAAGUGGCAAAGGGCUUUCCCUCUAUGAAGACAUCAUCGUCUAUCAUCAAGAUUUACCCCAAUGUCAUAGCUCUCAAAACCAAUCAGCCUUUUCGGUCUGUGAUGAGCCCCGCAACAAAUCAAGUAAAGCAGAUUCCUAUCCUUCAGAACCAUCCAGAUGGAUCUCUACAAUAUAUGGAGUACUGGGUGUUUGAUGAAACCACAGCUGAUACUGUCAUCAAACUCAAGCAUGGGUGUAUUCGUCUUUAUCACAAGAGGGAUCUGCUACAUUUUGGAAGGAGGGAUAUCCAUGAGCUUUCUAUUCAUCAGAUCAAGGUGGCUAAAGAUAUUUUAGGCCUGCUGCUUAGGAUUACACUUCGAUGGUGGCAUUCAUUAUUGAGAAAGAAAUAUGGAAUGGAGCUAUGGGCAGUCAGAUGUGCUGGUGGUCGAUAAAGACAGAUUCAUGCUAGCCCCAAACCAAGGGAGAGACUGAAGGGCCAAUAUAUUUAGUUUGGGCUAGGUAUUAAUGCAUGGUGUGUUUAGGAUUGUUAUUAAUGUGUUUUGGACAUAUUUUGUGUUUGUUUGAGUUUUCGGUCUACGUAGAUUUUUAGUCAGGCUUUGACCGAAAACCUGUUUUCAGUCUGAUGUGUGUUACUAUAUAGUGUUGUUAGGUUGUUAGAGGCAGGAGGUUUUUUUUCCAGUAGGUUAUUGGUCAAUCCAAGUUGCAUCCGACAUUUCAUAGUGGAAUUGUAUGCUAGCUUGGUUGUUUAAUCUUCUUCUUCUUCAUUUCUAUUGUAGUUGAUAGAUCAUGAAAUAAAUCCCACAUAUUUGGGACCUAACAAUGUCCCUAAAGCACAACACAAAAUAUUUAGAGACUCAACCGAGAAUACUCACACUCGAUCAUUCGCCCCUGCUUGUUCCUUAUCACCCUAGGAAUUCUUACUUGGAUUGAUCACCGACCCAGUGUUUCUAGUAGUACGAGCCCAAUACUACCUUCCACACCGCAUUUGUAUUCAUCCCAAUUCACCCUCCUAGGAUUCUAGUUCACAUGUACCCUAUAUCUUGUCAAACAUCGACUCACCUCUGCUACAUACUCGCACUCAAGCAAACCAUAGAAAACAAAAUCCCUAGGCUAAGGCAUCACAAAUCAGGCCACCCUAGUCCUAAAUUAUGAAAUACUUAGCCUACUCUCUAGCAUGCAUAACAUAUCUCAUGACAUCUCGUAUCACAUGAAGUAAGGGUAUUUUCGGAAAUCACCAUUCGGGCGCUGGCUGAUUGUACACACUGCUCUUUUCCUUUUUCUCUUAAAAUCUGUUACUUAUUUUCAGAAAAAUCGUUUCUUUGCGAAAACUUUUCUGAAAUAGUUAGUUCGAGUCCAAACAUACCUGAAGGUGUAUUCGAAUCCCUCAAACCAAGGCUCCGAUACCAACUUGUAACAUCAUAAAACCUCCAACCAAAAUUUUCAUUUUUAAUUAUCAUAAAAACACAUGUAACAUUUAUCAAAACUCCAAAUACUAAACAACAAAGUUUUCAAAACAUUUAUUCACAAUCCAGGAUCCAUAAACAUAACUCCAGCUCAGCUGUGUGUGUACAAUCAAGCCGGUGCCUUCCCACAAUCCUCAGAAGUACCUGAAACACAUAACACAUAACACGGUAAGCACGAAUGUUUAGUGAGUUCCUUAAAAUACCACCUACAAAUAAUUAUGCACUCGAGGCUAUAGCUCUGGAAAAACCUCUGGUUAAUAUGUUUUAGUGGGACCCUCCAGUCCCAGAGCUCGUUGGAUCCUCUGGUCUGGUCUGAUUAACUACCCUCCAGCCUCAUAGUUCAUUGGACCCUCCGGUCUGGUCUAAGCAACACAUAAUAUAGCAAACAAUACAUAUCACACAAACAUGCAUAACUCAAGCAAGCAGAUAAGACCCUCUGGUCACACAUAGUUACCACUCUAGGUAAUGUAUUGUGAGAAGACUCACCUCGUAGCUAGUAGAAAUAGACACAUGCUGGGUAAUCCUAAACUAGCCAUCGCCUAACACAUUAGACAAGCAUCUCAAUCAAUAUCUCUCAUUGACACCUUUACACCUAAAGUCCUUUAUUCCCUUUCACCCCCUCGGGAUGGCUAAAAGACCAUUUUACCCUUACAUGGCCCUAAAAGCUCCUCAUUGACCCACUGACGAAGUCAACAGAAGUCAAUAUGAGUCAAAAAUAAAAGUUGACCUGACUCGCCGAGUGCUCCAAUGUGAAUCACCGAGUCCAGUCGUAUACUUAGAGUUCUUCCUAGGGUUCACUCAGCUCGUCUAGUUGAUCCCCAACUCGACGAGAUAUUACUGGGUCAAGGGUACUAGGUCAGACCCGCUCCGACUCGUUUAGUCAUCCCAUAGACUCGGCGAGUUGACUCAAUCAGAUUCUUCAUUUGGUCACCUGAGGUCAGAUCUGUAACUCUAGCUCAUAGAUCUAGCCUCCUAAUACCUAAAAGUCAUGUAAAGGUCUGAUCUCUAUGUCCAUACAUGGUAUAUAUUGCUCUAUAUGCCAUUAAAACUUCAUUUAUGUUUCCAAAUGUAGCACCUGGUUCUUGGUACGUAAAAGUUUAUCUAUGUAUUUUGCAUUUUGGCCUUGGACACGGCGAGUUGUUGGCCCGACUCGCUGAGUAGAGACGGGUUUAGGAGCACGCUUAAGUUGGCGACUUGACGAGUCCCCACUGUCUGAUGAAAGCCUAAAUUUCAAGGGUUUGCACCCUAUUUAAACCAACCUUAUGCACCCCAACCUCGCCCCCUUCACCCUCAGAGCUCCCAACAUCGUCCAAACCCUUAUUCCUUGAGAGAUUGAAGUGUUUUGGUGUGUUUCUUAAAGAUUUUGAGAGAAGAGAAGAGUAUAUCAAGAAGAGAAGAAGGAGGCCAGAUAUCUUGGUGUUAUUUCAAGUGAUUCCCUUGAGGUAUAACUCAGUUUCCCUCUGUUUUCAUGCUUGUAGAACUUUAUAGCUCCAUUAAAGUCCUUCUUGAACAUUUCCAAGCCUGAUUAUGAAUUAGGGUUUGUAAUAAGUUGAUUAACCCUUAGAUCUAGGCAUGAUUGAGCUCCAGGAGCUCAGAUCUACUGCCUUUAUGGAGCCAUAUUGCAUGAAAGCCCUAGAUCUACUCUUUUAGUGCAUUUUGGGCCCUAAAAUCUUCAUUGGUAUUUAUUUACAUGUAAAUUUGGAAACUUUACGUGUUAACCAGGACCUAGAAACCUAGAUCUAUGUAUGGCAUGAGCUAGAUCCAAGCAAAAUCUAAUAUUUAGUGUUUGCAUGCGAUAGACUUGGCGAGUCGUUCAUCGAACUCGACGUGUCGAGUCGUGAGUCCCCGAGUUUCCCCUUUUGUGUUUGCGGAGUGGAGUAGUGAGUCAUGGGGUGUGACUCAGUGAGUCGGAAGCCAGACUCACCCAUGAAAGAACUCGGCAAGUCAAUGCCCUGACUCGGCGUGUCCAAGGCAAUCUUCUUGCCUCAAGAACAGACUCGGCGAUUUGUUUAUACAACUCUGCGAGUCUCAGCAUAGCAUGUUCUUCGGAUGAAGAUGAACUCGGCGAGUUGUUCAUACAACUCGGCGAGUAGGAUGAAGGACUAUUGGACCUUGGAUUAAAAGGAAAACACGUCGAGUCAACGCCUAACUCGACGAGUAGAGACGGGGUUAUGGUCAGACAAAAGGAUAGGGACUCGGCGAGUUGGCAGGCCAACUCGCCAAGUCGGGUCAACUUGAAGUUGACUUUGACUUUGACUCUUGGCUCGGUUAGGGGUAAAUGGUCAUUUUACCCUGAGGACGGCUAGCAGUAUUUGACUGGGUGUUUUGUGGGGAUUUUAGCUGGAGGACUUCCGAGACAGCAGCAGCAGAAGACAGUCAAUUCCCACACAGAUCAGCAACUACUUUGAGGUGAGUUACCUUCCAGUAGUGGUGGCUCUACGGCCACAAUUCUGGCCCACCAGUGGGAGUUGUACGUUAGAUGAUUGUCUAUGUGAUAUCAUCUAGGUUUGCUACUACCUGAUAUGUUACAUGCUAGCAUGGUAUGUUGUAUGUGAUAGUAGUAGAGUUUGGUUGUUAGGACCGAAGGGUAGUGAGACACCCCAGAUACGUCUGACAGUAUGUGAUGAUAUGUUUAUAUGCUGGCAUGUUAUGUUAUAUGUGAUAGUGGUAGUAGGAGAGGAAUAGUCCCCAUGUUUGGUCGUUAGGACCGAAGGGUAGAUCGGACACCCCAGAUAUGUCUAAUAAUAUGUUAUGUUAAGAUAUAUGUGAUAGUAGUGGUAGGGGAUGAAAUAGUCCCCGAGGACCGGUUGUUAGGACCGAUGGGUAGUCAGCACCCCAGAAUGGCUUGACAUGGGUAGUCAGCACCCUAGAACGGGUCGACACGGGUAGGUCGGCACCCUAGAAUGGCCAUACCGGGUAGGUCGGGCACCCCAGAAUUGCCCGGCAGUGUGGAUGAUAUGUGAUUGUAUGGUUUGUAGUAAGAUGGGGGAACUCAGUAAGCUUCGUGCUUACUGUUUUCAGUUUUGGUUUCAGGUACCUCUUCUUUGAAAGGGAAUGAGCUGGCACUGUAGCGGUACAUCACACACACACUUUGUAUUCUGCACUAUGGGAUCCUCCUGGGGUUUUGUACUCUGAUAGUAUUAUGUUUUAUGCAAUGGUUUCUAGACAAGCAACAUCUUUUAUGAAAUGACAUUAUCCGUGAAUGUUUUAUUUCUAAUGUAUUGCAAGUUGGUAUCAGAGCCCUGGUUUGAGGGAUUCGGACACGCCUUCGGGGGUGUCUGAACUCAAAUCAAGUGAUUUAAAAGACUUUAAAAAAGAAAAUAUUUUUCCGAAAAGCUAAGUAAAGAGUUUUAAGAAGGAACGAAGUGUGUGAUGUGCGCGACCGGCCAAGCUCAAGUAAGCAUUCCCCAAAGUACCCAUACCAACUUAUGUUAUGUUUAUCAGUUUCAGUAGAACAACAUGCUAGAAUAGGACUAAGGAUCUAGGAAUGAUGCCUUAUGUGCCUGCCUUAUGUGCUUCAGUGUAUGAAAAUUGCAUCCUACCAUUGAGUCGACAUCAGUAGGAUAGCCUGUUACGGUUAUGCCUGAUAGUAUGAGUUUAGCAUUGUAUGCUAGUACAACAUUCCUCUAUGAGGACGGAUUUUCCUAAGAUUGUUUAUUGUGUCUGAAUGCUGCUUGCUUUGUGCUUCGUGGGGACUCUAAGUGAUGGGAGUUAGACAUUAGAUGAAUACGUCACGUCACAUGUGAUCAGGGUUGGAUAAUCUUAGAGUGCUGGAUUUGGCCUUACUGUGCGGCUUUUGUCUGAGUCUAACCAUGUAGAGCCGAGUCUGUUACUUGAAGGUUUAUCUGAGCCUCACCACAUGUGAUGGUAUUCAGGUAAUGAAUAAUUGGCAUUAGAAGGAGGCCUUCAGCAGCUGAGGACCGGGUAGGGUGGAGUUAGAGAUUUCCAAGGGAAAGCCUAGGAUGAGUAUAGCAGUGAUCAGCGGUAGUGAAAGGGACCUGGUGGAGUCAAGGCAGUCCUUGGAAAGGGUACGGAUAGAUGUGGAAGGAAGUAUGGGCACGUACUACUGAAAGUAGAGGAUCCGUAUCCGAACUAAGGAAGGCCAAGAUAAGACCAGGGAACUUGUUGUAAGUGUGAUCCCUCCAGAGGUGUCAGUAUCACUAACAAUUAUUAUUUUUGUAUUUCAGAAUGGUGGUACUACGCUUGAGGCCAGAAGUUGGCAGUUUAGGAGAUGGAUCGGGUUCGGGAUCAGGUUCCGAGCCAGUAGAUGAGGGGCUACACGAGUUGAUCACGUCAGAGAUCACCAGAGGCAUCCUUGAGUCGACCACCAUUAUCUUCGGGUCAAUUAAGGAAGGGAUAUUGGAGUUGAUGGAGGAUCGCCUCAGGGCAUUCAGGAGCGACAUGACAUCUGGCCAGUCGGGAUCUCGCACACUGUCCUUCAAGGACUUCCGGGACAGUGGUGCGCCGGAUUUUCUCGGGUCGAAGCACCCUAUAGCUGCCAGGCGAUGGAUUGCAGACAUUGAGUCUACAUAGAGGAUUAGCUUCUUCCCUGAGGGGUCGAAGGUGAGGUUUGCAGCAGGGUGCUUACGAGAUUGAGCUAGGGAUUUGUGGGAGUCCGUGGGUGACUCGUUGGGAGCCUCGGCUGUCAAGACUAUGACUUGGUCGGACUUCGCGACCAGGUUCAGGAUAGAGUUUGUGCCGACUGUCGAGCUUCAGCAGCUGUCCAGAGAGUUCUUGGAUAUGAGACAGACGACGGAGACUGUAGCGGAGAUCACCGCCAAGUUCCGGGAGAGGGCGUUGUUGGUGCCGCAGUACACGCAUGAUGAGGAUAUCAGGAGGAACCGCUAUCAUGACAUGCUACGAGCUGAUAUUCGGAAGCAUGUCAGUUUUUCAGCUUGCCCUACCCUGGACUCGAUGAUUGCCAGGGCAAGGGAGAGGGAAAUUGAUCUGGAGCACAUCCGAAACAAGAAGGCAGAGGCGGGGCAGGCAGGAGGGGCUUCGGGGAAGAAGCCCAAGGGACCAGGUGGUAGGCUGAAAGGCCCGUCAGGACCGAGCCACUGCAAGAAAUGUGACAGGCCUCUUGAGGGGGCACGUAGGCUGAGAUCGUCGGGCUGCUAUAAGUGUGGCAACACGGGGCACUUCAGCAGGGAUUGUACCGCCCCUGCACCCGUGAUUCAGACAUCAGAGUUGCUGUGUUUCCACUACAACCAGAGGGGCCACAAGAAGGCCAAUUGCCCCCAGUUGACAGCUUCAGCGCCGACAAAGGCGCCAGCUCCAGUUACCCUUCGGAUUACAGAUGGCCGGCAAGUCAAGGCAGAGGCUCCAGUGGUGAGGAUCCGGGCAUUUCAGCUAACUACCGAAGAGGCUCGCGCCGCACCCGAUGUGGUGACGGGUAUGAUUCUUUCCCUCUAUCUUAUUUUUAUGAUGUUAUGAUAUUGAUCUGUGCUAUGUGUAUAUGCAUUAGGAUCGUUCCAUGUGAACGGAAUUCCAGUUCAGGUAUUGUUUGACUCGGGUGCCACCCGAUCAUUUGUUUCCCUUGCGCUUAGCAAGAGGUUUACUAAGUCUUCGGGCAUGUUGGAUUGCCCUUUAGAGGUAGAGAUCGUCGAUGAUCGAUCGGUGCGAGCGUCUGCAGUAUUCAGGGAUUGUGUCCUAAGGUUAUGUGAGGAGCGCUAUUUGGUGGAUUUAGUUCCCAUCCCUUUGCGGGGGAACAAGGUGAUUAUAGGCAUGGAUUGGUUGAGCCCUAAUGGGGCGGUGACAGAUUGCGCACAACAGUUUGUGCGGAUCAGGACCCCAAGUGGGGGAGAGUUGGUGAUCCACGGUGAGAGGCCAUAGCAUGGACCCACAGUAUGUUCAGCAGCGAGAGCUAGGUGCUACCUUCAGCAGGGUUGUGCGGGAUAUGUCGUGUACGUUAUGGAUACCCGGGAUGCGGGUAAGUCAACGGUGAGUGAGGCUCCAGUGGUGCGAGAUUACGUUGAUGUGUUCCCGGAGGAGCUUCUUGGAAUACCUUCGGAGCGUCAGGUAGAGUUCAGGAUCGACCUAGUUCUUGGUGCGGCUCCGAUAGCCAAGGCACCCUAUCGGUUGGCUCCUCCCGAGAUGCAGGAGUUGUCUAUGCAGCUGCAGGAGCUGCUAGACAAGGGAUUUAUUCGACCGAGUAGUUCACCCUGGGGACCCUCAAUCCUAUUUUUGAAGAAGAAGGACGGGUCGCAUCGGAUGUGUAUAGAACACUGGGAGCUGAAUAAGGUAACGGUGAAGAACCAUUACACACUCCCGACGAUUAAUGAUCUCUUUGACCAGUUACAGAGAGCAUCUAUUGGGUUUUGAGCAUUCUAACACUCCUAAGUGUCCAUGCAACCCUAAAUACCUUGGAUCUAUGUUCUCUCUAUUAUACAUGCAAAUAAGAACUUCCAAGGUAUUAUCCUAAUCUAGCAUACAAAACAAUGAGUGUAACAAGAUAGAAUACAUAGCACUUUGAUGUAGAAAGUCUUCAUGAAGCUUGAGUUCCUAGUGCCCCAAGUGUGACACCUCAAAUGGUUCACACAACACCAAAUACACUUGGAAUAACUUGAGAGAAAUCUACACUUCAUGAAAUCGGCUAGCCCUUUCUUACUCUCUCUAGUGUGAUCCUAGUCACCGAUUUUGUCAAGAAUAAGAUCUUUAUAUAGUGUUACAAUUAGGGUAAGCCCUAAUUGUCAUGACUUUCGAAUUCCUUGGAUCCAUGGGUUCAAAUACACCAUUGAGCAUCCAUGGACCAUCCUAUGUGUUUUAGCCCAACUUGAUUAUCCAUGGAGCAUUAGCCCACUAUACAAAUAUGGAUGAUUUACACAAUCAACCCAUAUAUUUAAUUAGUCUUCUUUUGAUCACUUAAUUAAUCCUAGAUUAAUUCUUGAUCAAUACUAAUUAAAUAAUCUUAUUAUUCUUAUUAUUAAUAUACUAGAACUUAUAAUAUAUUAAUAACCAUAAGUGUCCUAUUAAUGUACUAUCACCGAGUUACCAAAUGACUUAAUUAAUCCUAGACACGUUUUAUAGCACCGAGUUACCAAAUGCAUUUCUAUGCAACCAAAGUACUAUCAACUCAUAGUAACAACUCAUAUCUCUAGGUUUGAAGAAUAUAAGAUAUUAUCGUCUCAUGAUCACUCGUGAUAAAAUCCAUGAAGUGAUUCCAAUGAGCGCGGGUUGAAUCCAAUACUCAGANCGAUAUCUACUACAUAAUGUACUCCAAACAGAGCUUUUGAAUACUUCAUUUUUCAAUGGUAUUCUAAUUACUUUUUCAAAGAGGUUACAAGACUUCAUUUUUAAUGACAUGAAAUGAAGGGUUGUUACACAUACGACCGACUGUGGAUGGUUUGAAUAACUUAGUCAUUCCGGAAGAAUAACCUAGUUUAUUCUGGAAGUCAAAACAUGCAAAAUGAAACACAAGAAUAAUUGAAUCCAAUAUGGUAUCAAAACCUAUGAACAUAAAUAAAACACCUUUUAUUUAUCACCAUAUGAUUACACAUUAUUCAUUGUAUACUGUUUUAGCUAUCAACUUUAUUCUUCAAUUUAAAACAGUAGUUGUCUCAUGCUCCAAGCAUGUACACAAUGUUUUCUAAACACUAGUCAUGCCAUACACCAAGUAUGCAUACUAUGUUUGUCUAUGAUCUUUACUUUGUGAACUAGAUCAAUUGAACAUAACUUCAAUGAUUCUCUUUUCACACUCCCAAAUCCUUACUGCAAAUGCAAGAAUUCCAAAUUCAUGCCAUUUACUGAAAUCUGUUAGAUUCUAAACUUAUAUGCAUUGAUCCUCUUGUAAUGAUUAUGCACAAAGUUAGAAAGACUUGAAAACUACCAUUAUAGAGCAUUGCAAACAAGAUCGGCUCCUUGGAAACAUCGUUCUUGCAUUAAGUCUCCUAAUCUUACACAGACUGAAUAAUUUCUAACUUUGAAACAUUUCCAGAUUCCAUUUUGACAAUCACUUCUGAACAAGAGUUGCCUCCUUACAGAUUAUGUCAAUAUGGUCCUUCCAGAAUUAUCACUAUACUUCCAACUGUCCUUGAGCAACCAAUCUUUGGUAAACCUUAGAUUGUCCUCGACAAUUGUUUAAUCCUUUUAGUCAUAUCCAGUUCUAAACCUUUUCCCUUCUUAAUGCCCCAGGCAUUUGGAAAAUUUUAGAACGGAUGAAUAUAGCACAUGUAAUCGAUCCUAUAUCCGAAGCAUAUGGGACACGAUUCAUGAUGUCUNAAGACUGAACCAGACUUUUGCUAUAACAUUUCCAUUUCUAUUUUCCAAGUUCUCUAAAUUCAGAUUAUGAAAAGGGAUGUCGUAAUCAUAAUCGAAUUUUAGNGUACAUACCUCUUUGAUGUAGAAAGUCUUCAUGAAGCUUGACUGCCUAGUGCCCCAAGUCUGAUUACCUCAAAUGGUUCACACAACACCAAAUACACUUGGAAUAUCUUGAGAGAACUCUACACUUCAUGAAAUCGGCUAGCCCUUCCCUUUUCUCUCUAGUGGCCGAUUUUGAUCAAGAAUAAGAUGCAUAUAUAUUUAGGGUUACACCAUGUAAACCCUAAUUAACAUGGCCUUUCAUUUCCAUGAUCCAUGGGUACAAAUACACCAUGGAGCAUCAUAUGGGUUUUAGCCCAACUAGAUAAUCCAUGGAGCAUUAACCCACUAUAUAAGUAUGGAUGAUUUACACAAUCAACCCAUAUAUUUAAUUAGUCUUCUUUUGAUCACUUAAUUAAUCCUAGAUUAAUUCUUGAUCAAUACUAAUUAAAUAAUCUUAUUAUUCUUAUUAUUAAUAUACUAGAACUUAUAAUAUAAUUGUAACCAUAAGUGUCUUAUUCCUCUCACUAUAGUCUAUCAAAUGCAUGAUGCCAUGCAACCCAAAUGGACCAUGUCGGGUCGGGUCAAGUCAUACCAACUAUAAUUAUGGACUUAGACAUUAAUUCAAUAGUCUCCCACUUGGAUAAGUCAAAAACUAUUAUUGCGUAUGACUUUAGGAACCGACUGGCAAUCGUAGCUCUUAAAAGCUUCUGUCGAACUCUGACCUUGUAGAUGAACUCUGACCUUUGUCAAUGACUUGUCCAUUAGAUAAGGGAUCAUAUAUUCCUCCAUUGUAGAUAUCAUGUGGCCUGAGACAUGGAUUAUAAUCAUUCACUCUGUCCAUUUGUUGUUUCCCGAUUUCCGAUUUAUGACGACUGACUAAUUGAACAAAUCAAAUCAGUCCUGGCCCGGCCGAGCACUUCCAUUUGUCAUCAUCAAAUCAUCGAGGGGCCCACAGAUAUCGCUUUUAUCCCGAAGGUAAAAGGAAUGGAUAAACUUCGACUCAUAUGGCUUGUUCUACUACUUGUUGAAUCAUACACAAAGGCACGUUUUAUANNNNNNNNNNNNNNNNNNNNNNNNNNNNNNNNNNNNNNNNNNNNNNNNNNNNNNNNNNNNNNNNNNNNNNNNNNNNNNNNNNNNNNNNNNNNNNNNNNNNNNNNNNNNNNNNNNNNNNNNNNNNNNNNNNNNNNNNNNNNNNNNNNNNNNNNNNNNNNNNNNNNNNNNNNNNNNNNNNNNNNNNNNNNNNNNNNNNNNNNCAAAAAGAAAUGGUUUUGAUAUACUUAAUUCCCUAUAAAUAAAGCUCUGAUACCAAUCUGUCACACCCCCAAACCAGAACGGCGGAAACGUUCGGGGGCGGAGGACGUCAUAUUCAGUAUCAUAACAGUUCAUAGAAAGGAAAGUACACACCACCAUACAUAAAUAAGGUUUUUAAAAGUGUUUACAUAAUGGUAUUCAUUACAUGUUCAAAAGAUAAAUACAUAAACAUCUUUUGAAAAGAAAUAAUUAACGCCAAAGCAUAAACCAUAAGUUUUUAGAAUGUAUAAAACGGCUUAGCAACAAAAGAUCUUUGCAAAUCACUAAAUACUUUGUAUAAGUCUAGUGCAUGCAAAGUAUGACAAGAGUUUUCCAUAGUAGUAAUGAAUUCCAAGUGAUUCAUUUGAUAAAAACGAGUGAAGUGAAACUUUAUAAAAUACACGAUAAUAACCGUAUGUUUAUUUGUAUUCCCCCCUAAAAGAGUAUAAAAAGCAUUUAAAAUGUAUUUAAAGUGUGUUUAUAGGGGUAUGAACUCACUUGAUAGAUUGAAGAAGGUGUGACGAAAACCUAGCAGAACUUUGGCUUGAAAAAGCGGAUAUUCUUGGGAUUCUCGGGAAUCUCGGGAGUACAAACGACCUUCGGAACUUGAGCUAAGCGACCAGGGCUUCGGGUUUGCACGGGAACGGAAAACGAGGCAAAACGCAAGAAAAACGAGAGCAAAUGAGCAAGUUUUCCAGGAACCCUCGCAUCCCUUUUAUAGGGGCUGAGAGGCCUCGGUACGCGAGGCGUACGGGCGUACGCGGGGCGUACCCGUGCGUCAUGCAUGACCGAGUCCUCGACUGCCCCGGAGUUCGGAUGGGACGGGGCGUAGCUCGCAUAGGGGGCGACGUGGACGAACCGGGGCCNNNNNNNNNNNNNNNNNNNNNNNNNNNNNNNNNNNNNNNNNNNNNNNNNNNNNNNNNNNNNNNNNNNNNNNNNNNNNNNNNNNNNNNNNNNNNNNNNNNNNNNNNNNNNNNNNNNNNNNNNNNNNNNNNNNNNNNNNNNNNNNNNNNNNNNNNNNNNNNNNNNNNNNNNNNNNNNNNNNNNNNNNNNNNNNNNNNNNNNNNNNNNNNNNNNNNNNNNNNNNNNNNNNNNNNNNNNNNNNNNNNNNNNNNNNNNNNNNNNNNNNNNNNNNNNNNNNNNNNNNNNNNNNNNNNNNNNNNNNNNNNNNNNNNNNNNNNNNNNNNNNNNNNNNNNNNNNNNNNNNNNNNNNNNNNNNNNNNNNNNNNNNNNNNNNNNNNNNNNNNNNNNNNNNNNNNNNNNNNNNNNNNNNNNNNNNNNNNNNNNNNNNNNNNNNNNNNNNNNNNNNNNNNNNNNNNNNNNNNNNNNNNNNNNNNNNNNNNNNNNNNNNNNNNNNNNNNNNNNNNNNNNNNNNNNNNNNNNNNNNNNNNNNNNNNNNNNNNNNNNNNNNNNNNNNNNNNNNNNNNNNNNNNNNNNNNNNCAGUGCACAAGAAUGUGUACUCGAUCCCUUAGUCCUUCACUUGACUCACACAUCCAUGUGAACAAGUAAUUAGUCUUAAUUUUCCAAUACUUGAAAGUUCUCAUUCAUCAUGCUAUACAACUUGCAUGAUUCCAAGUUCCGGUCCAAUUGAAACUUGGGUGAUGAGAAUCUUUCCUUAUUUGGUAAAUUUAGACAUUACCACAAAUGAAAGAAUCAAUUUCAUAUUUCCACUCUUGCUAUUAAUGGAAUCAUAUAAGCAACAAUUUUUCUUCAAAUGCCAUUGUAAGGAUAUUUUAAAAUAAAUAAAAUAAAAAAUUUUCUUUUAUUUUAAAACUUUGCGGAAAAACAUAUACUUACAAUCCAUAUGAAAAUUUGUUGUUAUCUUUUCCUAAGCAAUAUCUCAUAACUCCUAAGAAGUAGCUCAAGAAUCCGAUCUUCAAACAAUGCGAUAGAAAUCCAUCUACGCGAUCAGAUUCAACAUAUUCUUUCUUUAAGUUUCUUCACUUUUCUUUGAUUCUUAAAACAUCGCCAUGUGACCCAGUCACGCCAUGUAUCAAGAAUCUCAUAAUAGAAACUUAGCAGAGUUAGAUAGUGGACUUUACCUGAAGUAGAGUCAAACUUAUUGACUUUAACAUCCUUAGGUCACUUCCAUUGGCAAUAUAAACAUAUGGACCCUUUAAUAAUGGUACACGGGACUAUCACAGACUUAGCUUUUUCUCUUUACCAUUUGGUAAACCGAGUUGAUUAUGGCCGAUCCCUUUCCAUUGGGAAGAGAAUUUUUUCUGGAUUUCCUGUGUCACUAUUGUCAAUGUCCAUCAAGUUUUAAGGAAGCUGAUCUUAACAAAUAGAUAAGAUCAUUAAGGGUCUUGUCAUAGUCUGUUUCAUAGGUGUCCCAAAGGAACUCACUAUGUGACUUAGAAAGUGAUUGAAUCACCAACUUUCUAAAGACUUUGACACCCAACUCUCCGGGUUUGUCAAAAUGUGACUACAUCUCCAAGAUGUGACCACACCUUGCCUUGCCAAUAGGGCUUGAGUGACCUUAAACUUUUCAAGAACUUGUGGGUUGGGGAGAAUAAUUGGAGGAGGUGAAAGAAGUAUGAUUUCCAUGGGAAUUCAUCAUUUUGAUUUAGGAAAGCUUGUUUCAAGAGAUUUGGGAAGAUCAUAAAUGUCUAAACCAGACAUGUUUUUGGGAGAUAUUCAAGAUAGUUGAUCUUAAUUCCUUAAUAUGACACCCAAUAUGAAAUAUUAAGGCUAGGACCCAACAAACUAUUUUAUAACUUAGAAGAGGUAUGCCGUAAUCAAGCUAUAAAAUCGUUUGAAAGUAGGUGAGUGACGAUUCACCAAUUUCCACCAAGAUAAACGAAAUGUAUUAUUAGGUUUUAACUGGUUUUGAAACUGUUAGAUCUUUUUAGAUUCAUUGAACUGUUCAAUGACAUGUUUCAAUCUCGAGUUGCCCUUCAGGUUUUGUGACUGGGAUGCCGAGGAUCACAAAACAAGGUGUGAAGUAACCAUGCAAAUCACUUGGUACCCUUAAUAAAUUACCCCUCAAUCGAUGUGCCGGUUAACCACACACGCUCCAUCGAUACUAUGAUAA